AUUGCAAAACACCUAAAGGUGUUUAACAAAGGAGUCCACUACACUCUGAAGAGACUAGAGGGACCUGGAAGUUAUGAUGAUAGACAAAGACCUGGACGAAAGAUAGUUACUACAAAAGCAGAGGAUAAACAUAGCAUUGUCACCAGUAAGAGAGAUCGGCGAAAGACAGCACCACAAAUAAGGGAGGAAACCAACAUGACAAGGUCGAAACCCAUAUCUCUGACAACCGUGAAAAGAUGUUUGAGAAAGGCUGGUCUGAAUGGUUGUGUAUCUGCAAAAAAACACUACUUCAUCCACAGAACAAGAAGAAGAGAUAUGAGUGGGCAAAAGCUCACAAAUACUGGACUAAUGAUAACUAGAAACAAGUUUGCACUGUUUGGUUCAAAACGCAGAGUCAAUGUCUGCAGACAAACUGGUGAACGUCUUAAAGCACCCUGUGUUACACCCACAAUUCAGCAUGGAGGUGGUAGUUCCAUGGUAUGGGGAUGUUUUUCAGGUGAUGGAGUAGGAGAUUUGUUUGAAGUAAAGGGUAUCAUGAAGAAGGAAGAGUACCAGUCCAUCCUCCAGCACCAUGCUGUUCCAUCUGGACUCAGACGUGUGGCUCAUAAGUUUGUUUUGCAGCAAGACAAUGACCCUAAGCACUCUGCCAAGCUCUGUCAGGGUUACCUAGACAAAAAAGAAGAGGAAGGUGUUCUUCAAAAGAUGGUUUGGCCCCCUCAGUCUCCAGACCUUUCUCCAAUAGAGCUUGUGUGGGAUGAAUUGGAUCGAUCGGUCAGAAAAACACUUCCCAUGAAUCAGCAGUCUCUUUUUAAUGAACUUAAGAAAGCUUGGAAUGCAAUCCCUGGAACAUACCUUAGAAAAACUUUUGGAAUGAAUGCCUGGUAUAUGCCAAGCUGUUGUUAAAGCCAGAGGAGGUUACUUUAAAGAAAGCAAAGUCUAAGCAACAAUAACUCAAAUACCUUAUAAUUAUAGUCAAAAUGUCUUUUAAUAAUUUACUCUUUACACAAUAGUCAUUUAUUGUGUUGCAAAUUAUAUACAGUAUAUGAAACUAUGAUCUUUUUUUUUUUGUACAAAUCUGAUCUUGUUUCAAAACUUUGUCAUACAAGACCCCCCCCCCCCAAAAAAAAAAAAAAAAAAAAAAAAAACUUUAAAAAGGGAGAGACCUAACUGGACUGUAAUGCAUUUUUACUUUGUUAUACCCUGCAUGCUUUCAUAACAAACAUCAGCAAGUAACGUGUCAAAGGAGGACUUAAAAGAUGUAGGUCUGAGUUUGCAGCUGCAAAGGGAAUAUUGGGUCUGAGUGUUACAGGUUUUAUUGGAUUUUAAGGAUGAUGCAAGAAUGAAGAGAAAAAAAAAGGCCCCCAGUGUGAGUUAGAUUUUUAAGUUAGGUUUGAAUCCCUCACCUUGUAUUUAAGUAGUGUUUAAAACAGCAUAAAUCCUGCUGAUGAGGGGAUUUUAAGUAAGGUAGUGGUGUUUAAAUUAACGGACACUGCUGAUAUUCGGCACAUUACGUAUCCUGUGUUUUCCCACAUGCAUGCACAUACACACAGCUCUGCUGGGUUUACAUUUCCAGUUUCAGCCUCGCCCCCUCUCUCCCCGAGCUGUGUUUCAUUUUAAGUGAGUUUAUUGAGGGUAAGUCUGUUUUUCCCCUGAAAGACCAGCAGGAAAGAGAGGCAGGAACAGAGACAGAGAGACAGAGAGGGAGAAUAGCAGCCCAUAGGACACAUUUAGUAAUCCUUCCAAUGAUGUCCAGGGCCCAGUGAUGGUUACCAGACCUGCAAAUACCCCUGCAAACACACACAUACACACACAAUCCAUUUUUAUUGUAUUUGGGUCUGCAGCGUUGUAUUUCCUGCCCUCUCUUAGUGCCACACACACACUGCACUCGAAAACAAAAAUCCAUAUUAUCGACCUGCCGGUGUCACCACAAUUAUUCUUUUGAAACAGCCAUUGAAAACAAAUUACAUCUGCACUGCGUUUUCAUCCGAUUGCUCUGGGUGAGCAAUGCUCAACGGCUGGGUCGGCCCUGCCUCCGCCGACCCUCAGACCCCUCCCCAUAGGUUUGCUGUCUAUAGCAUGGUGUCGCUAACGACCACUUUCUGUGUGUUUGUGUGUUUGAAUGUGUGCAGAAAUAUGGUUAGAGAUCCGGAUGAAAAAAGUGUAGCAGAAGUAGUUAAGACAAAAAAGGAUUUAAAGGAAAGACUCGAGAAAGCAAGGUAAUACUCCUGACUUACCGCUGAACACCAUAACCAUAAACACUAUUUACUAAAGACAGGCUAAAGAAAAUGCCCAAGUAAUAUACUCUAAGAUUGAUGUAAUCCAAGUAUCCAAAUAUAAUUCACUAUACAUUUUAAUGGCUUUGGCUAGCGCUGAAAUGCUGGUUUAAUAAAACAAAUGUGUCAAAGCAGCAUCUCGGUAUUAAACAGCCUUUGAAACUCAAACCCAUUUUCCCUCUGUUUGAUUUACUUCCUGGAAGUUUUUCAGACAAAAAUGAGCUAAAGCUUCUACAAAGGUACAGCCGAGCAACUUUCACCAUAAGAUACUAUGAAGAAGUAGGUGAUUUAAGUUUUAAAAUAACAGUGAUGGAUUAAACACUCAUGGAAAGUAGGGCUGUUAGCAGUGACAUGUUAAUCAUCCAUUCAAGGUCUGAAAUUAACACCUUUUUUUUUAAUUACUUGCAUGUCUUUUUUGUUCUUUUCAGCACAUCACGGCAAAGCUGCAGCUUUAGCUUUGGUGAAAAUGAUAAAACUGCCCUUUAAUGAAUGAUUUUGUGGUUGGUAAUGAAUCUAUAUGUUUCAGUCUGAAUAUCUUCUCUUUUAGAGGACUUUCAUGAGGGGCAAUCACAAUUUUGUUUUCUGCAAUGUAAACAAAGGCCUCCAUCUUAUUUAUCUAUCAACCUAUACUCAUAUACUAUCAACCUUUUUACAGGGUAUAUUUUACCUUAAAAAAGACACAGAUAUUGCAAUUGAAAGUCAAGUGUAACGUGCACUUUGUGUCCAACAGAUUAAGAAUCACCAGAGUAAUUUAACCUUGAAACUAGUGUCUGAAGAGUCUCCCCAGGUUGGUCUAAAACAGAAGAAGUAACGAAAAUGAAACUCCUGAAAAUUACAUUUUAAUACAUUAACUAAGGACCCCUGGACACCAGUGAAGUGAGUAAUCAGAUUUACAGCCUUAAUAGAAAGUGCAAGUUUAAAACUUGUAGGUGACUACAGGACUUAAAGUUGUAAAUUUAAUGACUUUUUACCACUGACUUUGAGCUCUUCCACUGCUGCAGUUACAUAAAUAGGUUGUUUAAAGAAAUAUUUCAGUAAAAUGCUGAACAGCUAUUAAUAUAAUUUAUAACUUUUAAAAUUUAAGCUUCUCUUGCUUGUCUAAUACCACGUUAUUUUUACAUUGGACGCAAUUUUGGCAAAUAAAAGGAAUUCAGGGCUGCACUUAUCUCUCAGGUUACACAUCCAGUUUCAAAGAUUUGUUGUCUAUGUGUGCAAAUAACAGAUCAUUUUUUGCUGAUUACCCCCCAGGGUGCCGAGUAAAAAAAUAAAUAAAUAAAAAUGCAAAUCUGUGCCCAUGUAUUGCAAAUUCAUAUCAACAGGUUAUAAUCUCCAGUCUAUGUGCAGGUUUUCAAUCCAUGGGUGCUGAUUUGAUUAAAAACCCAGGUAAGGAAUUGUAAACUGAGCAGAUUUUCAAAGCAUGUGCCCAGUUUGCAAAUCCAUACCCGAUUUUGUAAGAAGUAAAUCCCAUUGACUGUCCAGUAGAAAUUAGAAAAUGUAGUAAUCUGGUAAGCUUUAAGAGGCUUUACAAGAAUAAUGUUAUUUCUCAAUACUGUAGAGAAAAUUAUAUCUGUUGAUUUAUUGUAAAUUAUUAAUGUUAAGUGUAAAGCAUAUUCAUCACUUGUUCUGAUUCGAAGAGUGAAUAUAUAUUGAAGUGUUGAUAUUUGUAUGAAGAGUGUAUCUGUAUAAUGUACUCCAUGUAUGGUAUAAGGGGUAGGUCUUUGAAAGCACUGCUUCUGCCUACACCCUUUCCGUCAUAAUAUACGGAAAUAAAUCCUAAAAACCCUCACAAAAUUCAAAAGCUGAUGCUACAGCUGGUUUUUGCAUCAGAGAUUUCCAUGAUUUUCUCUGUGUAAUAAAGUCCAUAUGCCCAUGUAUGCACGGGUUGUAAACCAUGAGUAAAGACUUGCAGUCCACAUACAGAUUUGCAAACCAUGCACAAGGAUUUGCAUGUGGCCUUUUAUUUAUUGGACUUUGCAGCCAGAGGGCUUUGUACAUAAUGAAUUCAUAUGCACAGAAAAUAACCUGUGCACAUGGACACAUGGAUUUUUAAACCCUGGGCAUAGAUUGGCAUGUGACUCUAUCUUUCUCCCUUCACCUGGCAACCAGGAGGCUCAAAUUUCACUGUGAACAAACAAAAAUUCACCAUUGACCCGUUACUCUGCAAAUUUACCAGAAACAAGAAGAUGCAGUCUUGAUGGAGUAUUCUAUUAUAUAGAUGAUAGUGGAAGUUUUAGUUUUGUAAGAAAUUUAACGCUAAUCUCUGCCCAGUAGAACGACGGCUUCUCUGGUUUAAAAACCAUAUAGCAGCAGGUUUGAAGAUAGUGUGAAAGCCACACUGAGAGGCAGCAUGAUUGCCACACCACCAUCACACCACCAUUACAUCUAACUGUGUUACUCCAUCUAACAGUAUUAGCCCACAGUCUGCCGCACACAAGCUGCCUCCAAUAGCCUCAGUCCAGUGGCGCCAUGUGACAAUGGGAGAAAACAACAACUAAUAUCCAGCCGGCACACUUGGUAAUUAAUCCUGGCCCGGCUUCCCUUGGCCAAGGAGUACAGCAAGGGCUAGAAGGCAGGAUCCCUUUGUUAAGCUUUGACCACACAAGUCACCUCGGCGGCCCUCCCGAAGCGGGGAAACGCCAACUUUGGAGUAUUAAGAAAACCAAUAGCCUUGUUGACAUGAACACGGAGGCCUAACCCCCGCAGCCUCCUCAUAUGAAGCAUUGAUUUUUCUGUCCGGCCGCGGUACUAAACCCAUUCAUUCUCUAUGGCCGAGGCCCAGACUCACACACACACACACACACACACACACACACACACACACACACACACACACACACACACACACACACACACACACACACACACACUCACACACACAAACCAACAGUUACUACUACACACAGGGGUCUGGCUAAAUUCUCGUUUCAUCCUCUCAGUCUUACCUUGGGGGUGGAAAGGUGAGGAUUAAAGUCACCCCUUCUCCCCCUCACUUUACCAUCACUCCAGCCCUCAGCCAAUAUACACACACAGGAGGUUACAUGAGUAAACACACACACACACACAGUGUAACCCACUCUGUGUGUAGAGGCCAAAGGGUAGGUGAGGUUAAACGUGUUGGGGUGCAGCAGAGGAGGUCGACCUCCUGAUCUUCAGGGAUGCAGGUCACAGAUUCAGACUGUGGCUCUCUCUCUCUCUCUCUCUCUCUCUCUCUCUCUUUCUGGCCACUGGCUUUGAGAACUACAAACACACAACUGAACAAUUACAAUGAGUUGGCUAAUAUUUGUCUUAAACAGUCAGGGAAGCUGCUUUGUUAAUACAGCAUUAGUGACACGAUUUACAUCCUCUAAAAACAGGUGUGAAGAAACACAAAAAAAGGGGAUGAUAAUGGAGUUUUUAGUCCUCUGGGUUCUGCCCUCAUUUGCUCACAACACUUCUUCAAAUGUUCACAAGAGUGAGUCAAAUUAGCUCCACUAACUACAGUUCUCAAAGUAUUUAUGCUGAAUGUAUACUGGGUGCUGGAGCUCAUGCUGGAAAACUCCCUGCAGCUCAUGAUACCACUCAGAUCUCUUGUAAUAUGAGUUGCCUCCAGAAUCAUCUUCAUACUAGUUUGUCUGUUUUGUGCUUCUGUAGAAACAUGGCAGUGAGAAGGCCAUCCCUGUGGAUGGGUACCUACUUUUACAUAGAUAUCAAAGGCUCAUUCUGAGUCAGUGUUUUCUUUACUGGGAUGGUUGCAACCAAAUCUUAACAGACUCAUGAAUAUUUUUUUCCAUUUCUAAAAAGUCUGUUCUGCUCAAUGCUAAUACAUACAGUAAUAUACACCAAACCUCUCUGAAUCAGGAUGGUUGUGAAUGUCCUGGCUCACUGAACCCUUCUGGCAAGACAUUUUAUAUUAGAAUAACAGGCUGUUAGAUACAAUUCAGUAAAUUUUCAAAUGACGUCAAAUGUAACAAGAUCUGAAGUUAAAAAAGAAAAAAACAGUAAUCACCAGGAAGAACCUUUUUUAUUUGGUGUAUUUAAAUCUUUAUCUAAAACAACGUCAACAGUGACGUUACUCUCCAGAGCUGAAUUUUACUAAAAACUGCAGUUUUGAACUCCUCUUCACUGAUGUCAUAUCUCAGGACUGGAGGUUGCUGCAUUUGUACUUCUCCAGUGUGUUCAGUGAUCACUGUAAGUGUUGUAGUUGAUUCAAAAUCCAGUCUUGAGUCUUUAAAGUCCAAGUCAAAUCCUAGUCACAAGAGAGGAAUACAAGUCAAGUCGGAGUCCAGUCCUUAUUACCAGUGUCUGAGUCCAGGUGGAGUCUUCAUCAUUUAUAUUAGCUUUUAUAAGCAUGGUGUCUCUUUCACUCUAUACUACAGACUGUCUGAACCUGGACUGAGUGUUUUGUUCUUUUAAAUAUGAAGAAAACAUAUUUCUUUUUCAAAAAUUAGAUUCUUUAAAUUUAGAUCUGCAUGUUUGGAGAUUUAAGUGACAAACGAAACUACACUCAAACUGUGUGUCCUGCAUAAAUGUAAAUUCCUCAUACCUGAAAAAGGGGGUGAAGGUUAUUAUAGUUUUGAAAAUCUCAUCAUUUUUAUCCUUGUUAUUUUUAUUUGACUUUAGUUUAAUUUUGAUUUGUUAUUAAAUUUGAAAUUUACUUACAUUUCUGUUUCAAUCAUUUAACAGGUGGGGUGUGCGCAGUCCCCUAAUUCACUACGAGAGUUAUCCCAAGACAAGAUGCUGAACAAAAAAGACAGUACUCUGUGUUUGAAAAUACAUAUAGACGAUAAUGACUCUGAAUAACUUCGAAGUAAGAACGACUGAAGUUGAAGUGACAGUCUUGCUACUUAGCAAACCACACCAACAAUGUGUACUGAUGCAUAAAAUUAUUAUUUUUAAAAAGUCAGCCCUAAGCAGCUGUAAAAACUAAAUGAGCUAUAGAGACCAAAUCUGUUCUCUGUACCAGGAUCUUUAGAUUUAAAUCUCAGUGUAAGUUAACAUGGGCUCUUAUGGGUCUCUUGUGCUUUUUCAGCAGGCCUCUAGUGGACAUUGGAGGAAAUGUAGUUUUUGCACCACUGUAUUGGCUCCAUUUUUCAAAGAUUGGUCAGAGAGACGAGCAGUUAAAACAACCUCUUUGGUUUGAUGCAGGAAACAGUUUCAUAUCGUUGCUGUCUGAUGAAAAACAUGCAUCUCCACUUUUAGUGAUCUGGACUCCCGCACAUAUCUCCUGCCCUGGCCCUGAGUUGUCAUGUUAGCAAACAGACUUUACACUGUGACAGUCAGGGGUAAUGGUACACUAAUGUCCUCACAUCGACUGAUGCCAACCUCAAACUUUUUUUCUAACCAUGACAGUGUUGCUUACCUGUGUGUUAGAUUUCUUAAGCCAAAGUUCAUCCCCAGAGGCAAAGCUGCUGCUGUUUUCUCUUUCACACUCGGUCACAGACACUAGUGCAUCUUCAAUUGGGAGUCGCGACUCAAAAAGGUUGACAACCAAUGAGCUUUGUGGAAAUGUAGGAUAGCCCAUUAUCAAUUGUUUAUCAACAUAGUGGGACAUAAACAGGAUACUCAAAGUUCGUAAAUAACCAAACGUCAUUGGAGUGCAUUAUUGAAAAAAACACGUAUGUCCACCAUCACUCACAAUGCAAAGCACGUAAGUCCAUUUAAAAUAUCAAACAGGUCACUGAUGACUGUGUUAAUAUAGCUUUUGGUUUCGGGUCCUACUUUUGUCUAAUUACAGUGUUUUUGUUUUAUUCUGUAAGGUAGUUUAUGAAUGAAAUUGUUCUUUAAUGUUCCUGAAAAAAAAUUGAGAUACGUGGUUUUUAUUGGACAACGAUGAAAGAGAGCAAAGGAGGAGAAAGCAUUUGGAGAAAACUAAUUUUCAGCGUUUUAUGCUGUUCUUGGGUUUCUGGAAUGAUUAUCAGCAUUGAUCAGGGUAUGAAUGAAGAAGUUGGUUUUUGAUUUUUUCGAUCAUGGUUUUGUCAUCACUUGUCAAAACUGCCAUUUUUCUUGCAGAAAGUCUAUAACAUGGGAGACGAGGGAAACAUGCUUGUUCCACUUUGUUUCUUUCUGCCUCAGCUUUAGACUUUUUUUUUCACUGCCUGACUUUAGACUUGUGUGCCGUACUGCAAACAGCAGAGACGUGACACAGAUGCUGAUCACUGCAUGGCUUUGGGGACGCAUGUCUCAUGAAAGCAGACACUAUUACUUUCUUUUAUUUUUCAUCCUUCUCUUUUUAACAAGCUGCAUCGGGCAGUGCAAAUUGUAGAUAUGGCGAGCUUUGGAAAGGCGGUGGUUGUGCCGCCCUGGGAUAUUUAUCCCAGGAAAAUUUGCAGUGGAGAUAUUGUGUGAUCUCUCCUUAACUCUGACAGAGAAAAAGAGAGGGAGCUGAGGGAAAAAUGGAAAUUGUAAUCACAGAAUGCUUGAGGGAAAUGCGAGCGGUUCAGCAGGAAAAAAAAGGACCAUUACAUCCAGAGACUUUUCUUUGUGGAACCUGAAAAGAAACGAGCAUUGCACUUAAAGUAAUCAGACCAUGUACCGCUGAGACCACAGGAACAAUGUGUUAAUGCAGCUUAAUCUCUAACGCCGAGGGGGUACACACUGUACACACUCUGGCUGGAUGUGGCGUUUCAGACUCUGUUCAGCUGGUAUUACAUGAUGGAAACAGGGAUUUGGAAUUAGGCUCAUUCCAGGAACAUGAAAUGCAUCAGGAUUUACAAGAAAGGAAUACAAAGCUGUGUCAUCAACGUGAACAGGUGAAUAUAUAAGGUCUGGAUAGAUAUCUAAGGCCACAGAUUGGAAAAGUUCAAACACUUUCUGUUCGUUAGAUUAAGUAUCAUGUUAUGUACACAAAGUGUCAGGUGUCUCUGCAUGAGGAGGAACAUUUCCUUUUUCUGUCAACUCAGUUUUAAAAUUCUGUGGAAAAUUCAGACACACAUACCCAAAAUCUCUCUCUCUCUUUCUCUCUAUCAGUGUGUGUGUGUGUGUGUGUGUGUGCGUGUGCGCGCGUAAUAGAACAGACAGUGAUCAGUCGGUCUACAGACAGGCUGUAGGAGGUGACAGAUGACCUCUAUCACAUCAGUAUCAGCUCUUCAUGAGACUCAAUAAGGGCACACACACUUGAUGUAAACUCAAAACCCACAGGAUGGGUGUUGAGCACUCUUCAUCAGUGUUGCGUGCUACGGCGCAAGUACGUUCACAAUUUAAGCAUUGUGGCCUGUCUCAGCUCCUUCCCAGAAACGUCUCUACAUGCUGCUCUGCAUGUAGAGCACGGUCCGCAAAGAUCAUCAUAGAAAGGAUGUCACACACGGGAGUGGUUCAUGUCAUCAGGUAAUUUCAGAAUAAAACACCAUAUGCAACUGUUUACCAGUUCAUGCAGAUAAGAAACACUUCCUGGUUAUGGAUCUACAUAAACACACAGAAAAACCCCAUGGUCUGUCCCUGAUCUGCAUGGACCGCAACAGGACCUUUAUGUUCUACCUCACCACGCUGUUAUCCUUAGACAGAGUUAGCAGCUAGUUUACUUUACUAAACAUGAGUAAACCUGCAAGAACCGAAACUUUAAAUCCUGCAGCUUUUUCAACAGUGAUAGAAUGAAAUCCAAAUUGGCAGGAAAUCGACCACAGAAAGGCAAAGCAGCCUGUUGUGAGCAUGCUGGUCUCUGUAUACUGAGUCCAGCUGACCAGUACUGCACUACGCUGCUGCUACGCUACAAACACGCUUACAGUGGGUGACAGCAAUGUCCGACUGAGCCAGAACACAAUGGUGACAGAGCGCUCAACACACAUCCUGUGGGUUUUAAAAAUGCUAACCAUAAGAAACAUACACAAUAUAUGUAUAUACAUGAUACAAACAUGACUGAGAAAUUAUGUAAUUUGAAUUUAUCUAUGUUUUUAUGGACAGUUAAAAUCCUGACACUGCCUCAUUUGUUGGAUUGAUUGUCUAACAUCUGUGCUCCUUUGCUUCAGUCAGUAUCUUCAGUCAUGAAGGCUUCACUCACUUUACAGAUGAGUGGUGCUGGUUGUUGCAAUCAGUAAUGUUAUUUUAAUGUUAUUUUAUUCCUAAUAUCCCCAAAUACAAGGUGAUUCCACUCAUUUCAGAUGUAUUUGGAGGAGAAAAAAAACUCUAAUAUGACAUUUAUCAAACUAGAUCCCAGUAAAGAACAAAAAUAUGAAAGCAAAUCAAAGUGAGCGCUGAGGUCAUUCUGGUCUUUAUUUCCCUGACUUCUUUAGUGGCAUUAACGCUCCUCACUCUUGAGCAUCAGCAAACUGCUCUUUCAAAAAGCCCUCUGAGUCUGAGUGAAUUACAUUUUCUUUCCUUGUCUUUUUUGCUUGUUUUUUUUUUCUUUGCACUCCUUUUUUUUCUGAUGGGCCACUGAACCCUUUCCCUGGCUGUGUAUGCACCAGCAAACAUGCUGAUACAAUCUUAAAGGUCAUGUUCUUUUCACGUUGACAGAGGCCCUCCAAAACUCUGACGAGGGGGUCCCUCUAAAGGAUACCGCUGCUGCACUGCAGACGCAGCAGCUCCAGCUGAAGCCAAACUGAUUAAUGCGCUGCAUCAAAAGCCCUUUUUCCUAUUCAACCUGCAUUUCCGGGGCUAGUCAUGCUGAACCAGGGAGGCCCAUCAGCCCUGACGCUCCACGUUCCCCGUCUUAUUCAUUGAGAUGUAACAGGAUAAACUGAUUAUCACUGAUGAGCACCACUGUGGUUCACUUCUGGAGCUGCUGCAGCAUCCACUCAGGCAGAAUGAGCGAAAGCCUAUAAGCAGGUGUCCUUUUAAUAGAGGCUGUGUUGUGUUUGGUGAUGGAAACAGACUGUAAGCUGCAGCAGACACAUGCAGGAUGAGGUAACUGCUGAGUGAGUUUGAUCCAGAAAGUUGUUGAAGUGUUGAGCAGAGUCUUGGUGUUUCCAUCAGGAGGAACUGCUGCUCAAGUAGCUCAUGCAGGCAUUAUGAGUGCAUGUGUGCGUCUCCCUGUGUUUGUGUGUGUAUGUUUGUGUCAAUGUUAGACUCCUCCGCCUCGACAGCUCCUCUCUCCCCUGCCUUGUUUUUAAAAGGCAACUAUAAUGGCCGGUAAGGACAGCCUUAAGAGCUGCUGGCAGCUUGAAGCUUGACGCAACCAAAGGUCAUUGAUUCCCCCCUCCUCAAGGCGUGCUCUCUUUUUUUAAACAAUUCAUCCAGAUUUUGGCAUUUUGUGAACACACACAGGACAGCUCACCGACAAGCCGACCUUGACAGCGAAUUGGAUAAAUAAACCUUCAAUUUAGCUGCUCUCCUCCUCUCCUUCCCCCGUGCAGCUCGUCGGCUCAGGCAGCGAGUCCCACCGGGAGCCUUCACCUAUCCAUAUCGUUCAGCCCACGCUCAGCUCCACUCGGCGCUCCCUCCCUCCCUCGCUCUCUCCCGGCCUGUCUAGCGGAGCUGCCCUCAGCGCUGUGACAAACACGGCCUUAAAGAUAAGCUAAUAGCCCCCUUGCGCUCCAGUCAAAGUCAAUCCUCGUGCCACGUCGGAAAUUUAAUGCCAAUUCCAUCUCUCAACCCCGUCCAUCCCAUUUCCACAGCCGACACCGCACCCUCCGCCUCCGUCUCUGCCUGCCUUCAUCAAACCCUCCUCGCCAGACGCAAACACAGGGCAAUGCCGACAUGCACUGACACGCAUGCAAACACACACUUCCCCAUACCUAUCAGAUGGGCCUCGCCAUCCCGGGAGAGGAGCAGGGAGUGAGAGCACUACUCCAUAACGGGUAAUGACAUGGCAUUUAAUGAUACUGUCCAAAAUGAUCCAGGCCUCCUUCGACAGCUGCGUCUGCUCUGCAUGGAGGCCGCGCAGCCGUGGCGAGCCAGAUAAGCAUGGCCGGGCCAGGCCGGCACUGCGUUAGUGUGUGUGUCUGUGUGUGUGUGUUGUGACCGUCGUUUCCGAACACAGCAGAGGCAAUACUGUAUCUUUCACUCGUCCUGUCGCCUGAUAGGAUGUGACAUAUGCCUCCGCCGCACACUGCCGUCAUUCCUCCCGUCGCCUCUUCUCUACACCCGCUAUCUCCUCCUUUCUCCUUUCAUUUGUCCUCCUCUCCUCUCUCCUUCCUGCAUUUCCUCUUACCUACACAUUAUUUAAAAGGAGGUUUUCCUCAAAAUGAUAUCCAGGAGUGGUUUUAUGAUGCACAUCGUAAAAAGACUGCAUUGCUAACACAUGUGAGAUACCUUGAAGUGCUCAUGACAGGGAAAAGAUAAAAAAAAAAUCAAGACCAAGGAAAGCAGAGUGGAGAAAGGUCAGAGCGUAAAUGAGAAAUAAACACUUUCAGACAUCAAGAACUAUUACCAUUUCUCUAUUUUUGAUCAGGGUGUUUCAGAAGCAUCUCUUUGUGUAAAACUCCAAUUAACAGGAGUCACCUUUGAGCAAAACUGGAGGCCCAGCAGAAAAUGAUCCUGCAGGGAUCAGAUUCACAGGUUAACAUAUAUUCAGACCUAUGAAGAAGUUAACGCUAUAGACUGUUUAUAGUAUAGACAACUUGGCUCUGCCUCCCGCCAAUUUUCUCCAUUUCCUGAAACUGUUUGUAGCGUUCACUGUUAUGACGCUCGGCUCAAACAGCGUAUACCCCAGGGGAGCUAAGCAGUCUUCACACGCCCAUAGGCUGUAUCAAGUGUCAAUCAUAGAAAACAUGAACCCAUAAUAACUUUUAAAAAUGGAGCUGCACAGAAUAAAAGAGGACUUGAACACAAACCAGUCUUACAGUAACUACAUGUCAACAUCGAAACCAGGGGAGAGAAAAUAUAUUGCUGGAGGAGGCGGGCUUUAUGACCUAUACUGCAACCAGUCACUAGGGGGAGGCUUCACACAGCGAGGAGGCAGAUGACGUCUAUUCUAUAUACAGUCUAUGGUUAACACCAAAGGACAAUAUCAAACAGUCGAAACAGCAAUCUGCUGUUAGAAAGAAAUGUUGAUAAAAGUCGGAGGAAUCAGUAAAAAUAUCAUCAAGGUCACUGCAGAACACGGGUUUUCUCUCCUAAGGGCCAAAAUGUUAAAAUCUUGAAACACUUUAUGACUUACAGGCUUAGUGUUUGGAAAAGAGAGCAAUGUGCAUUAUCUAAUGGUCAGACUCUGGAUUGAAACACUCCUUUGCUCAACCCCGACUGAAAUAUUGACUCUGUUAGAACUUUUUUGCACAACAACAACAACAACAACAACCAUUUUUCCCCUUCUCUAUCUGCCAAGUAAUGCAAAAACUACAAAAAUUCAUAUAUCACAGGUUUGUCCAUUCUGUGCUAUCCUGAUUAACCUCACUGGUCAACAAAGCUGUCAAUCAAUCACCUGCUGAAAAAAAAAAAAAAACAAACUAAUUCAGACAGACAUAAAUCAGCACUUUAAGAAUGCAAUUUGUGGACAGAAACCAGGUUUAAGAUACAAAAGAAAAAGAUGUGUAUUCUAAUCUUAUGAUUGGCUCCUAUUCCAUCUCACAAAGGAGGGGGUGGGCUUUCUGACCCAUAUUACAGCCAGUUACCAGGGAGAGCCCUAAGAGUUAAAGCUUGACCUCAGACAGCUGUUCCGUUAUUUUAAGCAUUACAUUGAGUAUAAGGUUGGUGCUACAGGAAUGAUACCGAAGGAGAGGCUUCUGAGGUUGAGCUUUCAGGAAAAAAGUCCAAGGGGGAAAAAAGGGAAGAGCUCAGACAUCACUUUACUAAAGGCACAUGAAACCCUCAUUCUCAUAUUUAUGGAGCAGCAACAAACCUGAUUUUUGAUUUGCAAACCUGCAAACAUUCACAGGUUGCUUUGCGGUGUGUGUGCAGACUUAACACACGUGUGUCACCCACCUGACUGACUGUGACAGCCAUAAUGACACCUCAGGGUUUUGAAAGUACAACACAACCUGUACCUAAAGUCAGUCCGGCUGUGAUAAUGAGCGGCUUGCUCAGAGCGCACUGACAGAUGGAGGAGAAAUCCACGUAGGCAACUCAAUCAGGUAAUUAGAUUGAACCUACAAUACCAGGUAAGAAGUGUUAAGGCAGAGCUAACAGCGACCUUUCUACACAGCAGCUGCAUUCAUCCUUUAGCUGGUUAAGUGCAGCUUUCUGAAGUCAGAGGGAAAGCAUUUACUGAGGUGUGUGUGUGUGUGUGUGUGUGUGUGUGUGUGUGUGUGUGUGUGUGUGUGUGUGUGUGUGUGUGUGUGUGUGUACAAUGCAAACAUGGUUGUGUGUGUUUUUCUGUCUCAAAGAAUUGGCAUUAUUCCACAUGACAUUGAUCAGAAGGUCCUAUGUAAAUACAAGCAUUAACAAGAUCUGCGUUGGCUUGCCCCUGUGUGUAUGUGCAUGUGUGUGUGUAUGAGUAUGUGUGAGUGUGUGAGUGUGUGAGUGUGAGAGAGAGAGAGAGCUGCGUUCAUGGCUGCAUGUCAGCUGUGUGUUUCUCCAGAGUAUAUGAAGCCCUGAGGGCAGCCCAGGGGCUCGCCUCCAGCAUCUGUUCUUACACCGACAAGAGCAAGACACACCAAGACUGUACCCUGCAGCCAAGCUAUCGAACACACACCCGCACACACACACUCACACACACACUGACACAGUGGGAGCACACUAACCUUUUCAAAAAUCAUGCGUGACGUUACAAACAAUUACAAGGAGACAACCUGGCAUGGACUGCCAAGAUACUGCAACACUCUCCUCUGUCUUACAAGGCCGCUGCUUUUUUGUGACUGCAGGGCAAAUUUAUGAGGAAAAUUAUGCAAUGUGAAUCUGUUGGCUCUGAGGGUUCUUCUUCUUCUUCUUCAGUUUUUUUGGUCUUGAAUGCAAAGAAUGAAAACAAUUCUGACUGUUCUUCUUAAGUUUUCUCAUGGACAAACUGGAAAAGUACCUGACAGCUUCCCAUGAAGCUAGUUUUGUUGCUGUCAGAUUCAGAACAGCUGAACGCCGCUGACAUUUAGUCAAAUCAAACUUUUUUUUAGAGACAUUUCUGGACCAUUUGGACAAAGAUUUAUUCCUCAAACAUCUGACUGGGGAUACUACUCGCACAGACUUGUAGUGCUUCAGUUUUGCAGAUUUGAAUAAUGGUUUAAAGGUAAAGAGGCUGGGAUAUCUGUUUGUCUCAGUCUCUGUUUGUCUGAAUCCCACAUUUCUCUUCAUUUAACCAAUCAUCCCAUUUUGCAGGACCACCUCCCCGCCGUUUGUCAUCUACCGGAAAAUCUGACCCUGUGACGUAACUGAUCUACAAAUGGUCCACUUUUAACUUGAUCCAUCAAAAAUCUCCAUAAUUCUCAGUAUUUUUCAAUUCAAGUCUUAACACUCAUUGUUAAGGGUGUUCUUCUAUCGAACUGGAGUAAAAUCUGAGACUGGAAGUUAAUAUUUUGUUGAUGAAAUAAUCUAGGGCCUAUAGACUCCAGUCUCAACCAGCUCCCACCAGGCUGGGCCCAUCAGCUCAUCAGCUAUGUCCACUUUUGGACUGAAGUGAGGGAUGCUUUUCUUCUGCUGAUCACUUUCAUGUAUCAUGGGUCCAAAGAAAUCCGACCAGGAAGAAGAAACACCCUCACUGGGUUUGUUUUAUGAGCUGCUAAAUCAGCAGAAAUCAUAUUUCAAAGACCUGAUGGAGCAAAUAGAGAGAAACUUUGGAGACCUCUUUCCAGAUAUUCAUAGACUCAACUAAUCAAAGGAUGGACAACAUCAUGAGGAAUAUUCAGGAUAUUAAAGACAGUCUGCAGUUCUCACAAAAAGAUCUAGAUGACUUUCUGACCAUGUCUCCAGUCUUGAGAACAUCUUUAAUGAGUUUGAGAGAGUCUGUCAAGGAAACAACAGUACCUGGAGAGUCAAUCUAAGAAAAACAUCAUCAUUGAUUGAGUUCCUAAAGACCAGAGUAAAUCAGGGCAAAUAACUAAAGGUGAAAUCAAACAACUGCAGGUUGAAAAGCAGGAAUCUGAACCCAAAUCAAUCAAGUUUGAAUAUUUACAGUGCUAUAAAAAGUAUUUCUCUCCUCACAGAUUUCUUCUGUUUCUGCUUUUUGUCACACAUUUUGGAUCAUCAUACAAAGUUGAUUAUCAAACAAAGAUAACCUGAACAAAUUCAAAAUACAGUUUUUAAGUGAUGAGUUUAUUGAUUGAGGGGAAAACUGAUUCAAACCAACCAGGCCCACUGUGAAAAUCAGCUCCCUCUGAGACCUGAUCACUGGCUGUGUCACUCUUGGCAGACAGAGGAUCAUACACAAACUGCAGAUUUUUUUAUACCAUGUAGUCAAAUAAACUCCAUCCUUUUCAUUCAUAAGGCAACUAAACAGGGGUGCAACCUUAGUGGUCAACAUUUUAACAAAUUUCUUUGAUUGGGAUGCAAUUAGCAAAACACUGAAAUGACUGAUCAUUUGCUUGUUUUUAGUGUAGCCAAUGUAAAUUCAAGGAAUAAAAAAGUCAGGCAUUGUUAAUUAAAACAGAUUUUACAAUAGAAAAAAUAUUAAUAAGUGUAAAUCUGAGCAAAAGCAGCAGAUUUUUACCCUAGGUCUAAAAAAGGAAAAUAACCAUUACAAAUCGAACCCUCUGAAACUGAAAGAAUAUAAAUCAUAAAUAAAUAAAUAUGUUCAUAUAUUAUGUGAAGCUAAGAAAAUUUACUUUUCAAAUAAGUUUAAAGAAUCAACAAACAUGAUACAUUGAAUAUUAUAACCCUUAGCUGGCCCUGCUUUUAAGCUUUUAAAUUGUGAUUAACUGAUACAUGAUACAUAUACAAAUUUCCUGUGGCUUUCAUGACUUUUUAGCAACAAACAAUGUCGACACAACUGUGGGCAGUUAUUGAGAUUACUUUAGAAAGCAUCAUAGCUGCAUCAAUUACCAAACAGGUCAAUAAUCUUCAUCUCAACCUUGUUUUGCAUGUUCACUAGGCUGUUAGACUUUUAAUUUGCAUCACUGUUUCUCUAACAACAAAAAGAAAAUGCUUCUGAAUAUUGUUUAUUGAUUGAAAGUGCGCCAAAAAACGUCUCAACUUUUUGUUCUUUUAUUUUCUUAGCUGCAGGCAAACAGCAUAACUCUUGGUCCAAAUAAAUCCUCAAGGUCUACUUGUUUCCUCUCCCCCUCCCCCUCCCCUCACUCCUGUUCCUGAUCUGAUAAUUAUUACAGAUGGAUAAAUAAUUGUAGCAGGAUUUUGUAACCAUGCAAGGCGGCCUCAGCAUCACAAAUCAACCCCCUGUUCUCUCUCCCUCUCCUUUCCUCAUCCUCUCUCUCUUUCUCCUUGUUGUUGCCAUCACUCAGGAUGUCGAGCAGGUAUAUUUCAGUCUGAGUUACUGUGUGGCUGACACAAAUGAGUUGGGCCUGAGAACCGGCAAUAAGCUAAUUACUGCUCUGGCUGCUGCUUUAAAAGCUUGGACAGCACUGUUGUGUUCCUGCUCCUGUUUCACCGGUACAGCAGCAGCAGCCUUCUUUGCUGUAACUCAGCAGAGAGAGUGAUUACAGUUUCUAAUUCCACUAUGUUCCUCACUUGUUUGUGUACAUGAAACCAUGGCAAUGGGAUCUGAGAAUCAUAAGUCUGAGUUAGCUGAUACAUUGUGCAUCAGCUGCAGGUACUGCAAAGAAUAAAAGAAAUGUCAAUGAAGAUGAAACCACCUAAAAGAAAAAAAAUAUUUAUACUUUAUAAAAUACUUUUUUACACUAAUUGUCAGACCUGUACAUAUAUUCUAAAUUAAAACAGUCCAAUGCUCACGUCUCUCUUGAUGAUGCAACUGUGGCCUGAGAUGUAUGAUUUGUCAAGUUUUUGCUGUCACAAAUGACUGUAGAUACACAUUAUUUUACAUACAACAACCACUCUCUCCCACAUCCUCUAACAUUAACAUAAGCACAAAUACUUUCCAACUACAAAAACACAUUUGGACUAGUUUGUCCUUUCUGUGCUGCUGUAGAAAAAUGGCAGUCCAAGAUGGCCGCCUUUUUGGAAGAGGACUGUCGCUACCCAAACCGUCCUGAAAACCUGAUUUGUACUGCGCAUGUGUGAAAUGUACAUCACUUCUUCUCCUCAUAUUUCAAUGCAUUUUACGACAAUUAGUUGUGACUAUUGCUACCUACCCAAGCCAUACUGUGCGAGUGUAAAUUUGAAUAUGAAACACAUGACCAGCAUAUUUAUUUAACCCCCCUUUUCAACAAACAAAAGUAUUCAUUUCAUUUCAUUUAUUUAAUAAAUUAAAUUAAUUAACAAAAAGCCUAAACAUUAUGGACAAUAAAUUUCAGUGUUUUUAUACAUUUCAAUUUUAACAAUGAAAUAUUCAUUUUCAUUCCAGCGUUUUAUAACUAUGUUGCAAUUUUACGAUUAAGCCAGUGGUAGGAACCUUUAAGUGUGAAACACAUUCUCUUGACUUUUCUGCUUCAGUCGGGGGAUGCACUCUGUUUAGGAGAAAAGCUGGUGAUGGUAAAAACUGAAGCAUCCAUUUUGACUGAAGUGAGCUCGCUGAAGCUGUCGAACAAGUGUUAAAGGUGUCGCAGACUGAUAGGGGCAAAGAAUUGCUGAGCUGUCGCAAAGUUGGCUUGUAGAGUGACGUACAUUACGCACAUGUGCAGUACAAAUUGUGUUGAUGAAUCGGGAAGCAACAGGACCUGCACUUCUAACGAUAUAAAGAGAAAAAAUCAUUAUGCACCUGCUGUCUCAGUUGGAUAACCUGCUCAUGAAGGAUGAAGGUGAUAAACCUUCAAAUCCCCAACACUAUAAGAAGAGUUAUCUCCAAAUAAAUCAGCUCCUUUUGAAUCAUUUCUUUAAGACCCAUUUGCACAAAUAGAAGACAAUAAUACAAUACAAUACAAGAACUUCACUGAUCCCCAUAGGGACAUUCGUUUGUCUGGAAUCUCUGAAGAUGACUCUGGAUGCUCAUCAGAUAAAAACUGUGGGGUUAAAUCUUCCCACAUAGGCCUAAAAUGCCUUCUCUGGUGAUAUACAUAUCUAAUGAUGUUAAUAAUGUAAUCCAGAAACUAUGCUGUCCUUCCUUCCUUCCUUUCUUCCUCUCUCCUUACUUCCUCAGUUCCUCUCUGUCAGCGCUUACUAGUUCAGCUGGGGUUGGUUUCUUUGCCCAUUUUCUUAAUUGGCGUUAAAGAUGCCCAGGGCCUCACAUACCAACCACACUAAACACAACACACACAUACACACAGUGACUCUGUGCUGCAGGAUAGCGGCUGAUGUGUCUGAAACUUUGCCUUGGGUGUAGAGAGAGAGAAAAAAGAGCUUUUGAAGCAGUGCUUAGCAGUAGGAAAACUGCAAUGAUAGCGAAUAUUCUGCUCUUAAUUACUGCCUGUUUACUCUGCCUCCCCCCUGGCCCUCACCCCCCCUCACCAUGCAGUUUUUUUUUUUUUUUUUUUUUAUGUCUAACCCCUAACCUCCCUCUCUUCCUUCCACACAAACCUCUGCCAUAAAACCUGUAACUCUUUGGAGGAAAGGGGGCAUGGCCAAGGACGCAGGUAUCAUAAUAAAGGUACUGCCUGUCUUUGAUGUAAGUCCAUCAAUUAAAUGUUACAUUUAAUAUCCAAUCCUCAGAUAUCAGCUGGCUUCUUAACCUCCAUAUUUUGUUGGGUCUCUCUCUCUCUCUCUCUCUCUCUCUCUCUCUCUCUCUCUCUCUCUCUCUCUCUCUCUCUCUCUCUCAGACAAAUCAAUCUGGACUCCCUAUUGCAGGUCUCAAGAGAGAGGCUCAUCUCUGAAGCCACAGCAGAGUUCACAGGUCUUCUAUUGACUAAGUCCACAUGGACAUAGAAGUGCAAGUCUCAACCUCUCACUAUCCCCGUCUCUCUCACACACACAAACUCACACUCGGUCCACUGGAGUUUUGAGAGGAGUUUUAUCGCUCUGUUCAGGAAACAAUAGACAUAUUUUUUAUUUAUUUAUUUUUUUUCUGAUCUCAUUAUGUCUAUGUUUCCUUCAGGUGGUCAGCACAUGACUUAUCUCCUUAAUUCUGACAAAACUGAAGUUAUUGUUCUCAGCCCCUUUCCACGGCUUUUAAGCACUCUGUUGACGCACAAAUGGAUUAAAUGAUUUUCGUGACUAGAGUGAAUGAUGCGAGGGAUUGAAGCAAGUCUAGAUAUGCGCAAAUUAAACAAGUAAACAAUUUUAUUUGCUCUUGGUGUGAAUGCACGGUAAGAAUUACCUACCUGUCCAGGUAGAGUCAGCUUAAAGCCUUCCUCUUUUAUUAAACUUAUAGUUAGACCUGGUUUGAGAUCUCAUUUUCUACAGUAGACACAGAGGAUCAAAGUCCAAGUUGAACAUUUGGUACAUUUGAUAAUUGGUGAGACACCCUUUCAUAAGAGUCUGCAGGAAUACAGCUAAUGUGCAUCAGGGAUGUCGGUUUUUCAGAAAAUCAACAUCAAGCAAAUAUUGAGUAGGGACAAGAACGAAUAUUUGAGUAAUCGAGAAACUCGUUACCGUCAUUAAUUGAGUAUCACUACACUACUCUUACAGGCCUUGUUCAUGUGCAAGUGCCUCAACUGAGUUUACAGGGACAUGCACCAUGUCAGCAGUGAGCAAACAUUAUGAGUGGAGGUAUUUUGAUGAUAAAGACGACAUUAUCGUGCUGUGCAAGAUAUAAUUCUAUGAUAUGCAAGUUUAAAACUGUAUGAAUUCAGUGUCUCAGUUAGAAGAUAAGUUAGCAGAGACAUAUGAUAAGCAGUCUCACAGCACAACAUCUACCCUGUUAGCAGAUGCUGGUGCGAUGACCCUGCUUGUAAUAAAUAUGGUGACUGGAGACAUGCUCCCAUCAAGUUUAGGAGAAGGGGAAAGCCUCUCUCAGCUGAUGGCGUUUGUUGAGCCGCAGUACAAGCAACUCUCAUGGCGGACAAAAACUACAAGAGUUGAAAUAUGUUUGAGGAGAGUAGAGCAGGAUUGAGGGCUGCUUUGCUAAGUGUUGACAAAGUGUCCAUCCCCACUUUACCAUCAUGUUUCAUUCACAACUGGGAGUUAGAGACCUCUGUCCUUUAGACACACAGUACUGAAAAACGGUAUACCAUAGAAAACUUGGCUGACCAGUAAAAAAUACAUAAAUUGCCAGUGCUUCAUUACUUGAAAUGCACAUCCAUAGUAUCGAGCAUGACAUGCAAAGUCCAGAUGCGUUCAACUUUUGCAGUCUUAUCAAUGAUGAUGACUUGUGCUUUUCCUUCUUCCAAGCCUACAGUAAGAAGCCUGCCAUAAAACCCUUAAACACUUGCUGAUGUGCCACUCAUCCAUGGUGCCUCUUUUGCCGUUUCAUGCAGGUGGCAAACCCUCAGGUGAGCCUGCAAACUUGCUGUUGAUGCAGGGUAAGCCGGCCCUUCUGAGUAAAGUCUACAUACAGUCCGGUCUCUCUGUGUAUAUACUGUAUAUCCCCAAAUUCUUCCACACAGGGCUUGAUAGAUGUUUCAGUGUUGUGAUUUUCCGCUCAGUGCAACCUUGUUUAACCACAUCCUCCAUUAUUAGAGAAUAAUGUUACUGUAUUGGUUUACAGAGGUCAAGGGUGCAUGGAUUGCAUUACAGUUUGAACUUUUCCACCAGAGUUCAAAACACAGUUUGAAUUUUUGGUAAAAAGUGACAGCCCAAAUAUCUAUUACUAACGCAUGAGUAAAUAUCAGAAAGGAACUGCAAAGAAAGAUCCAAAUAUUACUGAAGGGAAAUAACAAAACUGCAUCAGCAACCAAAACAAGUUCAAGUGGAUUUCUGCUUUUAUUCAUUACGUGGCUCACUUAACAUGACGUUUUAACAUCUGAACCUCUGUUGUUGAGCUGGAGACAUUUGAUGACUGUCAUGUGCAGCACGUGUUGACAGAGUAUUGUUUCAUCCGUCAAACUCACAUGUGCAUGCAGUUUCAUGCUGGGACAUGGUGAAAUCAGACCAAAGGAGUGUCCUGAAAGUGUGAUUGUUGUAGAUUAAUGUGAAAAACAUUUCACUGAGUGUGACUUUGACAGCCGUCAUCAGCAGGAGCAGUUUUUGUCAAUCUCUUGGGACAGGAUGAAUGUAAAUAAUCCACCUGAUCACUUCUACUGUACAUUCAUGGACCUGUCCUGUUUCAUAAAGAUUUUGAAUGAUCUAUUCCUUGUUUCUGAGGGACUCACACAUGUGGUCAUUUAGCGUGGCUCUGUCUUCGCUUACACUCAGUUCCUCUUGCGUUUUGGAUGGCGGGUGUCUGGGUGGGGGAGGGGUUAGAAAUAUUUCCCUGUCCCCUGGUGUGCUGGAUGCUGUAUUAAAGCCAUAUUUCGAAUCACACUUGGCAGAUAUAUGGGGUGUCUUAAACAAUAUGAACUAUGUGUUAAGAAAUAAAUUGCUUACACCACUAGAAUUCUUACAGGAACACUUCAAUCCAGACCCCCAAGACCAUCCAGAUCAUUAUUUCUUGCACAUUUUCCCCAGUGCAAGCAGACAUAGGUACUGAUUGUAAUAAAACACACUGUGUCGAGGUGGGGGUGGGUUUGUGGCAAAGGAGGGGUUUCCACCAUGACAGUGACAGCGCUGUAUGCUAGACAUAUUCUUCAUUUCCUCUGCGGGAUUUUGGCGUUCUUUUUUUCAGCUUUCAUUUUUCAACUCAACAAUGUUUAAUCUUGAAAACUGUAAAACUGGAGAGUCGUAGAUAAAUUUUCUUGCUCUGUGUCUCUGCGUGUGUGUGUGUGUGUGUGUGUGUGUGUGUGUGUGUGUGUGUGUGUGUGCGUGUGAGAAAAAACAGUAAGUGAGUGAGUUCAGUCCUAAGUUCCUCAUAUGGGAGGCAGAGGCCUGUUUAGGUGUGUGUGUGUGUGUGUGUGUGUGUGUGUGUGUGUGUGUGUGUGUGUGUGUGGGUGGGUGUGGGUGUGUUUCUUGCUGCAGGAGAGCUGCAUGCUUUCCCAGCGUUAACAUGCCUGACGCAUAAAUCCACUCAACGAGCUAUGGAUAGUAGCAGAACCUGGAAGAAACACACCCACUCCACACAGCUGUAUUUAACACACCCUCUCUCUCUCUCUCUCUCUCUCUCUCUCUCUCUCUCUCAUACUUGUAAAGGCUUUUCUCUGGUUUUGAGGCGUAAAAACAAACAGCUGCAGAAUUCAUUUAAACAGAAAUAUCACUAGAUUGUUUUUCACAUUUCCAUGUGAUUGAAACUGAAAUAUGACUCAUCACCGUUUUUCUGCUCCACUUCUGAUGCUGUUUUGUUUAAGGUCAGCUGAAAACUCAGGUAAAAAACUUACAAGUGCAGAAUCUGCAUAUUUCUAUUUGACAGCCUGAUCAUGUAACCUUUGCAAAGACACAGAGAAUCUGGGCGACCCAUCACAGAGUGGAUAAUCUGGAUGAUAAAGUAACCCCCUUUGAACAAUCUCUACAGCAAAUAUUUACAUUGUGUGCUAUGUGUUGUUAUAAAGACAGGAAUGAAAACAUAAAUGUGUGAAAAACAAGUUCAACAAAGGGUAGGGAAGAGGCACAGCUUUGCUAAAAGGGGUGGCAAAGACUCACAAAAACUGCCCUCCAAACACCCGACGCCAUUUAGACGUCUUUUUUAGGCUAAAUCACGUAAGCCCGUCACGGCCGUAAAUUAGCCGAAAAAAUUUGUCGAAAACUGGGCUUCAUUUAGACGGUCUGAAUGUAGAGGCGCCCAAACGACAUCUUUUCAAACUCUCUUUACUGGGUGGGUGGGGCUGUUGCAGUAACCGUUUUUUAAAAAACUAAUAUUGUGCUAAAACCAAGCCUAUGGUAGUGUGGGUUAAAUAAGUAGUUUACAGUAGGGGGCGGUAGUGGUUAUGAAACUGGAAGACUGGACAGCAGCUGGAGCCUCGAGUGAGCUGGCCUCAGACACAAAACUGAAAAAUGGACUGUAUAUCAAAAGACAGCCUUAGAGUUUCUUUCUCCUCAAGGUAAAGAUAACAUUUACUUUCUGAUUGUUUUUUUAGCUAUACAAAAAGGUUAAUUUGGCCUGUUGAUGAUCAAUUUAUGAAAUGGUUUGUCUAUAAAGGCCACGUGACAAGGUAUCCGAAACUUGUCAGAUACAAACAUUUGAUCUUUUUGCUGUUCUCGUUCAGUCCUGUAUACAUAUAAAUUACUUACAAAUAUACUCUUGUAGAGACUCUCUACAACGCUAAUGCACAAUGUUGGUUCCAGGAAGUGGAGAAAAGUGGAGAAAAUUCCAGAAAUACUGAGAGCGAUUCGGCUUCAAAUUUGUAUAAUGGCGGAAGGCAGGGCUAAGUUGUCCAUAGUAUACGGUCUAUGGUCAUGAUGCAAUGGUGCUAGCCAUUGCAUCACUGAGGACAAAACACUGGUCCAGACAAAAACUGUACAAGUACCAUCUGCAGUCAGGCCACACUUGCUUUUUUAAAUCAAACUUAUGUUUUUAGUUUCUGUGUUGUUUUCAGUCAGUAUGUUCACAUGCAAGUUAAGUUGAUCUACAGUUAAAGCUCAAUAUGGUGAUAAAACUGGACUGUUUGUCCCAGUUUAUAAGCACUAGGUAAGAACUGGGUUGUUGACAGAAGCAUGUCUACGGCAAGUGUGUAGGUGAAAUACGGAAAUCAUAGAGUAAAGAGAAGGAGAAAGAAAGGAGGGGAAUCUAACCCUGAGCCCAAGAUAAGUCAAACGUACUUUGUGAAUUUUCUUCAAAUGAAUUUCUCCCUUUGGGCUUUUUCUGCAGACCUGGUUGGUUGUUUCUCUUUCAUAACCUGACCAUCAAUUUAGCAAAGCAGCUGCCUUACACUGUCCAGGUUUAUAAUUGUUAAAGAGAAGCCUAUGACACGUAUUUAAGUCAACAGUAGAUAGAGCCUAAAAUAAUUAAAAAUUGAUGCGUGGAUUGAGUGUAAUUUCACAUACAUAUUUUACAUAAAUCUCAAAACCCCCUAAAAAAAAACAUAAACCCCCUUGAUUUUUCUCCUACGUCUCCAAACAUGACGAACAUUAUCCUAAAUUUUAAGUGAUCAUUUCAUUCUGUAUGCCAGGAUUCCACUUUGUGCAGAGAUGAUGAGGCUCAUAAAAGAUGAUAAAGGGACAGUAGGAGGAGGUAGUUUUUUUUUUUUUUUUCCUUUUCUUCACUGCCAAAGUUAAAGGAGCUUUAAUCACCAGCUGUAUUCAUCUAUUCUGUUAAAAAACACACACACAGCCCUGCUCCACUCGUUAGAUCUCAAUCCCCCAGAGAUAUAUAACACUCGCCUGUCUAAUAUCUAUGACUCCAGCCGCCCACUCUCGCUCCCCAAACAGCAGUGACUGAUGUCGAACACCAUCCAACACCCCCAGCACAUGUCCCAAAGAUUUUUCCACCCUGACACUGAGCCCACAUCCCCGAGCAGCGCUAUUAUGCUCGCUGUCAAACACCAACAAGGCUUCUUGUUUUCGGCUGUUUGUUUCGAUCUGUUCUGUCAAAGCCAGAGUGAUGCUUUGUAGUGUCUAACCAGGGUUUGUCAUUGUUCAGGAGAUGGAGGAGAAAGAAGUGGCCGGAGGGUACAGGUGGUCUGGACAAACCAUGAAGAAAAAUGCUGGAAAUUCAUCAUAAAGAACCCUUCUUUUUUUUUAAGUCUCGUCCUGUUUUAGAUAUUCUUAAAUUAGAAAAAUGUUCAUCAUUGUAAGCGUCAAGGAUAAAAUUUACAAUGUUUUUAGAACACUGAGGAGACUUCACUGAAAAAUGAUAAAACAGGCUGUGAUAACUACAAACUAGUUUUUCUCAUGCCUUAAUAUUGUGGGAGUCCACACUAGAGUAAAGGAGCUACUUUGAAUACCUUAGAGGAGGGACAUAAACUUUUCCAGACUUUGUAGUGACUAAAAGUCAGGAUAUGUGGAUACCCUUUUCUUCCUUUGUUUUUUUUAUUUUUUUUUAAUCUGCCCUGAGUGCCUUAGUUUCAGUUAAGUGUUUGUAGUAAAUGUCAUAAUCUCUGCGAAAGACUUGGACCAAUAGAGCUGGUCAUGUAAAGGACAGAGAGAUAGUUUUACAAGAGGUCAUGGGUGGAUACCAAAGGUAUAAAACAGACCACUAUAGAGGUGUAUGCAUGGGCUAAAUUGGGCAAUUUUCAAUACAAUAUUCAAUGGGGCAAUAUAAUUGUAAAAUAUCCUUAAAAAAAAAAAAAAGUCCUACAUAACCUUCAUAAAAUCGUCAUCAACUAAGUGCUUUGUGUGUCUCUGUAGUUUACAUUGGUUGAUCAUUAGGCUGGCAGGGGUUUGAUGUCAACACGUUGAAAAGCGCGGGUCUUGAAUGGUGUAAACAUGGAUGAAAUCAUCAUUUCCACCAUCAUACUAUUUUUAUUUUCUACCUCCAACAGCGACAACUUGAAGAACUGUACAUGAGGCUGGUCCGAGGAAGUCUCAAGAAUUGGAUUAUAAGACGACAACUUUAUCGACAUUGUCGGGAAAGGAAAAGAAAGUAUACAAUCCUGCGAGUCAUUGCAACAGCAACUCGGGAGAAAAGUAUGUGAAGUAAAACUCUUGAAAAGAUACGCUGUCAGUGGUGAGGUAUAACUUUAUCUACAUUAUAAUAAAAUUUCCUGUAGUUUGACCAUCUCCAUUAAACAUAAUAAACCGCAUACUUCUACUCCUCCAUUUCCUGUCUUUGGUACAAAGGUCCGAACCUUUCAAAAUAAUGCUUUCACACUGGGCAUGAACCAGACCAUGGUUCAGUUUGGUCCGGACUGAGACCACCUCUUUUCAUUAGACCAAGGUCCUUGGGAGGUCCCACACCUAUCAUUUUGUUUCAGAUUAAACAUAAAAGUCAGAAAGUCCAGACCAAAGGACAUAGGUGUGAAAGCCCCGUAAGUUGACUGUUGAAUAAAUGUCAGUAUCUGCUGGAGAGAAAACCAAGAGAAUGAAGAGCAAAAGAUUGUUUAUGGUGAGCAGAUUACAAUCUUCAGAGAAUGAGCCAAACAUGGACAUGAUCCUGCUAACCCCAAAGGCCAUAUUACCCGGAGACCUGCAAAGUAAAAGAGAAGUAAAAUAAUUCAUUGAUUAAAAAAUGAUUUAUGUGCCUAUAAAGUAAACCCCUCAGUUCUGCUGUAGAACUUUUCCAUGGCCUCCUUGCAGCAGGAACAAACAUGUUUAAGUCAAGAGCAGAUAAAUUAAAGAAAAGGUUAAUUUUCAUGUAUUAAGUUAUAUACUAUGGUACGGCUCCCUGUCACUCCACAUGUAGAAGUGGGAUGCCAAAGCCUGAGGAAGGGAGGCACACCCACCCUCUCUCUAAUGUGCAUACAUACAUUACCACUGCAGGCAGAGCAUCAGUCAAGACAAAGAACAGAGCAUGCAUCAGUGACAUCCUAUAUGACUAUGCGCUCUGCCUGCACUAACACUAUGCUUGAUUUUAAUUUGUAGAGAUCAGCAGCUUUGAGAUGCGCUCACUAGCUCUGCAGCUGGUGCACAGAUUGCAGGACAGGACCGUGCUCUACUUCACCUUAUUGAGAACAAAUUCAUUUCAAGUAUUCAACACAGCCAGGUAGUUGGAAAAACUGGUUGACCAUUUUUAAUGAACUUGAAAGCUGACCAGAAGUUUUCGUAAAGACUGCUGUUGAAAAACAUUAAAAAUAUAGGAGCCAGUGGUGAAGCAGAGCCAUCAGCUCUCUGUAGAUCUGGUGUCUGUCUCAAACCUGAAAUUCUGGAGGUACGUGUAUUUCAUCUAACACUCACAGUAAUGUGAACUUGAAGGUGUGAGUAACAGGAGAGAGACUUUUUGGCCACAUUACAACUGGAACUCCUCAAAGAUCCCUUGCCUUUCUCACCCCACAUUUUCAUCACCUUCUCCUUCUCCAUCUCAAAGCUUCCUUUCCCUUCCCUCGAUACUUCUCUCCUGUGACAUUACAGGAAAACAAAAGGAAGACGAACACAGGAAAAAAGACAUGACAGAGGCCUCAGUGACAUACUCUCUCCAGACCUGCGGCUCUGUUUCUUUCAAACCUUGCCAAACUUUUGAAGAGGCGCCCUUUUUCUCAGCUUAUAAAUCGCCUCCUCUUUCACUCAAUCUAAAGGAAUACACACUCACACACAGCACUGAGCAUUGACUCACACACAGCAAGCACACACCUCUCCAGGCAGCAGACAUUUUGGCAGAUCCCCUCUGACAGACAGGCAGGGAGAUCAGAGCGAGGUGAGUGAUGGAGAGCGAGGCAGAGGGGGGGAAGGAUGGAGGGGUGAGGGAUAACAAUCAUAUGAAUGACAGAAUACAGGUGUUGGGGUUUGCUAGACAACCUCUCAGCUGCCUCCGCUCCCUCCAGCAGCCGAUGGUAUCAGACUUCUCUGCAGUUAUUGGCCGCCAGUCUCAAGAAGCCAGAAAGCGAGCUUCGGCGGGGAGUGGAGACAUGAUAAACUGAAGAGGAGGAGGGGAGGGGGAGAGGGAGAGGGGAGGCCAGGGGGAGAAAGAGGUGUUUGACAAAGAGUGAGAGAGUGAGUGAUCCCCUUCAGGAACAUCCCUCCUCCUGAUGCUAACAUUUGGCUGAACUUUCAGAGGGGAUCCUCCCUCAUGACUCCUUCGCUGUUAGGUCAGACAGAAAGAGAGGAGGAGGAGGAGAGAGGGAAGGAGGACUGGGACGAGAGAGAACAAUUCAGGAGGUGUCCAAGAAAGGUGAGAUUUAAAACAGGGAGGGAAGGAGUGAAGUUGGGAUGUAGCAUACGGAAAGAGCUGUUUGAUGUACAGAUUGGGUAACAGAUAUCCUUCAGUUUGGUCAAAGGUUUUGCAGGUUUACAUGUUUCUGUCACGCUGUCUGAAUUCACAGGUAAAAAUAAUGGACAGCUUGUUUCCUGGAUUAUCAUUUUGAAGCCUUAAGUUUGCCCUCUGAUCACAAUUAGUUGUGUCUAUGGAGCUGUACCACAGUCAAUGAAAUUCAGUGUAACAGAUGUUGACACUCUCACAGCAGUGUUUGUGUGGGUGUAGUGAUGCUCAGUCUGUCCAUCAAAGACUAUGGGCUCUAUUUUGGUGCCUCGCCGAAGACGUGCCGCAAGCGCAGCGUCAAUCAGAUCCGCCGCGCUGACAAGGCGUUCCCAAGCACAUUUUGGUAUUUUGGUGAGCCGCGCAGCCCGGCGUAAGUAUCCCCCCUCCCUAACUCAGCUCCUCCCGGCAGCAUAAGUCAUAGACGGGGAGGAGAGAGGGCGUGGAGUCGGUUUAACACAGCCGAGACCUGUUUUCACCAAUCACAUAAGCUCCUCUCCUUGCCUUUAAAUCCGCCACCGGCGAGGCGUAUUACUAUUUUCAUGAAGUAGUCAAAGAGAUCAAGAGAUGUCUGAAGACAGUUAUGCCACACGAUGGCGACAGAGGGCAGCUGCUCAACAAGUGUCCUCCACACUCUCUCAUCUGAGCACAGAUGGAUUUGGUGUGCGUAAUGUUGGACCCACUGGUAAGACAAACACCCUUUUCCACAAAUAAAGACACUCACAUAAAGUUGCAUAUAUUCAAACCUCACGUGACAAAGGUGGGUUUAGCGCACAGAUCACAACAUAAACUCCAAAAAUGGCAUUAAAAUCGGAACCAUCUGUGCGUAAAUGACGCAUCGCGCUCUGUGGCCUGGCUCUUUCUUUCAUAGAUGUUGGCAUAUAAAAUAAAUUUGGCCCACAAAACUGAAUAUUAUAAUAUCCGUAUGUCGGCUUAAAGUAGAUCACGCAUCUGAGCACUGAAACAAAUCAUCUGUUCAGCCGCAGCAGCUGCAGCAAGACGGACAGAGGACACGGAGACGUGUCCAGGUUGAGCUGUGCGAGAAAUAAGAGGAAGAAAGAAAAGGAGGGAGACACAUUACAUAUCUUGUUAACUUCAUCAUGUGUGUUUAUUUACUAGAUAUUUAAUUUAAUUUGAUGCAGUUUCAGCUGUAUUGAUUCGGUCAGGUUGUGUGCCCAAACGCGUGCCAAACGCGUGCCAAACGCGCUCAUCAGAUCAGAUAUAGAUCAGAAUAUAUCGAUAUAGAUCUAAAUGUAUGUGCUGACUCAGAUUAAUAGUUGAUGAUGAUUAUUUAUUGCACUGAAAUGUGCCUGACACUGUGGAAACCUGCCGGUGAGGCAUCGGUGACGUAUGUCGAUACGCCGCUGGUCUACCAAAAUACUACUAGACCAGCUGCGUUCCGCCUUGCGCUGAAAGCUGACCAGGUUUGAAUCGGCGAGCUUUCAGCGCAUGUUACACGCCGGUGGCGAGCACGAAAAUGUCACUGCGCCAGCUGAUUCUGUCAACACCUCCCCCUGCCACGCCACCACGCCCAGCUUGGCGGAUCUCGGCUCGCCUCCGUGCGACUCAGUCCACGAAAAUACCAAACUCGCCUUACACCGGGCUCCGCCAGACGAAAAUACAACUGCGCGGGGCUCGCCGCCCUCCGCCGCCUCACUGGCGCGAACGAGAAUAGAGCCCUAUAUCUUAAGUUAACUCGAUGUUGCAUGCAGGGUUUCCCAAGGAUCAAUUCUUGGACCACUUCUGUUUAGGCUGGACAUGCCUCCAUUUUUCACACAAAAUUUAUUUACAGGUUCACAUAGAUGAUUAACAACUGUACAUAUCAUGAUCGCCAUUUAAUUCAAAUCCUCUUCAGCCCCUCAUUCAGUGCCUCAGUGAUAUAAGGAAAUAUGCUACAUGAAUAAAAUUUGACUUGACCAGUAGCGAGGAGAAGAAGGGGACCAACAAGGUGCAGUUUGUGUUUGGAUCAGUCGGUACCACAGCUCUGUGUUUGAUGACUUUGUCUAUUAAUGGCAAAUUAGGAAACUUAGUUGUGCAGGUUUUUUUGUUGUUGUUGUAGUUGUUGUUUGUUUAGAUAGAUAGAUAGAUAGAUAGAUAGAUAGAUAGAUAGAUAGAUAGAUAGAUAGAUAGAUAGACAGACAGACAGACAGACAGACAGACAGACUUUAUUAAUCCCAAACUGGGAAAUUCUCAGUUUUUUGUUUGUUUGUUUGUUUUUCUUUGUUUGUUUGUUUUCUUUAUUGUUUUUUUUUCCUUUGGUGUAUUCUGUGUGAGCCUGAAAUGAUGGUUACCUUUUUCAGACCAGAAAAAAAAAAAAAAAUAAAUAAAUAUAUAUAUAUAUAUAUAUAUAUAUAUAUAUAUAUAUAUAUAUAUAUAUAUAUAUUGCCUUGAAAAAGUAUUCAAACCUCUUGAACUUUUCCACAUUUUGUCACCCUACAACCACAAACUUAAAAUUAUCUUAUUGAGAUUUUUUGUCAUAGACCAACACAAAGUAGCACAUAAUUGUGAAGUGGAAUGAAAAUGAAACAUGUUUUUUUUUUUUUUUUUUUUUUUUUAAUGUAAACAAAUAAAAAUCUGAGAAGUGUGGUGUGCAUUUGUAUUCAGCCCCCUGUACUCUGAUACCCCUAAAUCAAACGCAGUGCAAUCAAUUGCCUUCAGAAGUCAGCUAAUUAGUUAAUAGAGUCCACCUGUUUGUAAUUUAGUAUCAGCAUAAAUACAACUGUUGUGUGAAGGCCUCAGUGCUUUGUUAGAGAACACUAGUGAAUAAAGAGCAUCAUGAAGACCAAGGAACUCACCAGACAGGUCAGGGAAAAAGUUGUGGAGGAGUUUAAGCAGGGUUAGGUUAUGAAAAAAUAUCCAAAGCUUUGAACAUCUCAAGGAGCGCUGUUCAAUCCAUCAUCCAGAAAUGGAAGAAGUAUGCCACAACUGCUAACCUACCAAGACAUGGCCGUCCACCUAAACUGACAGACCGAGCAAGGAAGGCAAUGGUGAGAGUGCUAUGUGUGGCGGAAAAGUAACACUGCUCAUCACCCUGAACACACCAUCCCCACUGUGAAACAUGGUGGUGGCAGCCUCAUGCUGUGGGGAUGCUUUUCUUCAGCAGGGACAGGGAAGCUGGUCAGAGUUGAUGGGAGGAUGGAUGGAGCUAAAUACAGAGCAAUCCUGGAAGAAAACCUGUUGGAGGCUGCAAAAGACUUGAGGAAAGACUUGAGAGUGGGAAAGAGAUUCACCUUCCAGCAAGACAAUGACCCUAAACAUACAGCCAGAGCUACAAUGGAAUAGUUUAGAUCAAAGAAUAUUCAUGUGUUAGAACGGCCAAGUCAAAGUCCAGACCUAAAUCCCAUUGAGCAUCUGUGGCAAGACUUGAAAAUUGCUGUUCACAGACGCUCUUCAUCCAAUCUGGCUGAGCUUGAGCUAUUUUGCAAAGAAGAAUGGGCAAAAAUUUCAGUUUCUAGAUGUGCAAAGCUUGUAGAGAUAUACCCCAAAAGAUUUGCAGCUGUAAUUGCAGCAAAAGGUGGCUCUACAAAGUAUCGACACAGGGGGCUGAAUACAAAUGCACACCACACUUUUCAGAUUUUUAUUUGUUUACAUUUUUGAAAACCAUGUAUCAUUUUCGUUCCACUUCACAAUUAUGUGUUACUUUGUGUUGGUCUAUGACAAAAAAUCUCAAUAAAAUACUUGUAAAAAAGUUCAAGGGGUAUGAAUACUUUUUCAAAGCAUAUUAGGCUAUAUAUUUAGUUACAUUGACCAACACUAAAAUACAAGAGCAAGUGAGGUUGAUGUUGUGUUCACACCAAGGUUAUCAUAGUUUUGGAUUUGUUUCUUAUAGUUUUAUUUUGUUUGCCCUUUUUUUGUCUAUUCGGUUAGUUUUAAGUAGUUUUUAGAGCGGGUUUGUUUGUUUUUGUUAGUUUUUUUUUUUUUUUCUAGAUGAUUGCACUUGGCCAUGAGGUUAUUCACUGUGCAGCACCGGGUGAUUUGAGUUUUGGCUCAAGUGAAAAGCUAAACUUUUUGAAGGCGAUCAACUCACACAGUCUUGUAGACAUACUAGUCUCAAUAAACAUAUUUAUGAGUGCAUCUUCCCACUUGUGGUGUUCCUGUGUUAAAUACUAACCAGCAGCUCUUUGGUUGUAGGUGAAAACAGUCUAUUGUAGUUGUCUCCUCUGUCUCGGUGCUAUCUCCUGGCCGAGAUGUUGCUUAUUUUUCAGGGGAGCUACUCGGAGGCCACUCUGUCGAGGUGCUCAUGAUAUGUGUUCUUGUGUAAGCUUCUCAAAUGGACUUUCAGAUUUGUGAGUUUUUUCCCCUUGAGAAGCAUUCCACAUACUUUAUCACCAGUUUUUAAGGCACUUGCUUUUGUCUUUCUGUCAUAUUUAAAGAAAUUUCAUACAGGACUCUGUCGCUUCCUCCCGAGUUUUUUCGCCAUUUUGCCAGGUAGAAUGGUGAUGAGAAACCAUCUGUAAACAAGUGAUAAGCUGUGAUGUGCUGUUCGGUGCUGCUAGCUUAUGUAAAAUUGUUCAGCAAAAUAAAUCAAUUUCAUAUCAAUCCUAAAUUGACAAAAAUGAAAACUGGGGGAUUUUUUAUUUUAAUAUGUAUAAUACCUUUUAGUUAGUUUUGUAAAAAAAAAAUACUGUAUCAGUUAGUUAUCUUUUUUCUUUUAAUUGUAGUUUUUUCUUUUUUUUUUUUUCAAUUCUAGUUUUUAUCAUUUUGUUAGUUUUAAAUAACGACAAUAACCUUGGUUCACACCAGAUGCAAAUAAAUAAUUUGUGCUAGUGGACCUCGUGUAUGUAAAUGUUUUGACAUUGUAGGACACAAGUUCUUUUCACAAACUAAGCAAGUAAAAACACAAUAUUAAGAUGUUGAAAUAUGCAUGAAUUAAGGGAGUGAAUGAUAUAAUUUGUAUCUGGUGUGAACAGUACAUAACAGACAGACAGGCCCCUACUGAUCUGAAGCAGAGUCAGAUGAUUCAUCAAACAUUUUAAGCUAGUUGGAACUUCCUGCACAUCCUGAUGAGUUUCCUCUGACUUGUUGCACCAGGACAAAGUGUGGUUAGCAGUACAGAGACUUUGUUGUUACUUGAGAGUAUAGAGUGGAGUAAAAGUUCAGACCAGAAGAGCAGACAGGGAGGCCUCGGCCCAUCUUUCUGAUUGUUAUAUUAAUCAUAAUGUACUGUAUGCUAUUUUGAAGAUAAGGAGGAAGCUGUUAAACAGUACACAAAUCCGCUAACAAAACCACCCUGCAGGGGGGGAACAUGGACAUUUAGCUCGGAGAAAUCAAUUUGGAUAAAACAUUGACCCCGGUCAAGAUAAGAGACACAAACAGGAGGGAAGCAGGAUACACAUAAUCCCUUUCUGAUUUCAUUUUUUCUUCUUUGCUUCUGUGUUUCCUUUCUCUCUACUGAAUGCUAAUUCUUCUCUGCAGCUACUAAAGCUCACAAUGGAUAAUCUGUAUGGUAAUAGGACUGCUUGAGCCCAACUUAACACAUAAAUGUGUCAGAAACUCUGUCUGAAUACAAAAAAAGAGAGGGAGGAGAGCAUGAAAAUGAAUCCCCCCGUCUCAGAAAAUGCUGCCAUGAUAUUCAGCAGUAUUAAUUUCUAAUUCCACAUUUUCCAUGUUCAGAUGUUCAGGAAAGAGGACUAAUAGCUGAAAUUAUAUUUGGUAAUAAUUCAUGCAGAGUGGACUCCCUUUGAGCGCUGGAGGGAUCUGGCUCUAAUUCAUCAGAAGGAAUCAGAUAACAGCUCUGUGAUAUCCCUGUUUUAAAACAUCUGCCGCUUGCUCAACCUUUCAUCAGGGAACAUGUGUAAAAGAAAUAUGACCAGAAAAUCAAUCAAAUCGCUGAGAACCAGGGGGUGACAACACUUAACAUGGGAGCGACUGCACUUCUUCCACAUCUUAUGUGUCCGUGGAGAUAGCUGUCAGCAGGAAAUGUGAUGUUUCAAUCAUCGGGUGUUAAAAGAGAUGACUUUAUUGAAACAAGGUAAUAAGCAGGUGCUUUAUUUACACAAUCAAACAUGGAUUUGCAGCAUGUGCUCAGAAAACUUGCCAGGACAAUGUCAAGACUGGCUGAUAACAGCAAGUUGCAAGAGCCUGAUCAGAACAGAAGUGCUUCAUGGUGACCAACAAUCAUAAGAAACUGGUCCAAUCCAACGAAGGGAUGAAGAAAUUCAUGCUAAGUAGAUUGGAGGAGGAAACAUGGACUUAAAGCUACAUUUUUACAGCCAGGGGUUUCAAGAGCUGCAGCAAUUUCUGCCACUUUUCUCACCCGAUUUACCAAAUUCUACUACAUUCACGAAAUGAUGGUUGAGUCUACUAUCAUAAGAGACCAUGAGCAAGAUACUAAAUCCAUUCAUACAUGCCUACACAGCUGAUUCUAUCAACAGGAGCAGUGGGACCCCCACAAACACUUCCAUCGAUCCACCACCUCUGAGCUGCAGCUGCUGUGUUUUCUAAUGGCAGUAGAUUAGGAGGUAGAGUGGUAGUCCUAUAACUGGAAGGUUUGCGGUUCAGUUCCCUCUAUCCCUAAUCUGUCCGUUGUGUCCUUCGGCAAGAUGCUUUACCCACCUUGCUCCCAGUGUGUGUCCUCCACUGGUUAAUGAUUGUGAGUGUUGUGUAACUGUGGUCGGAGAGGCUGUAGGCGCAAACUGGCAGCCAUGUUUCCGUCAGUCUGCCCCAGGUCAGCUGUGACUAAGAAGGUAGUUUACCACCACCAAGGUGUGACUGUGUGAGCGAAUAAAUGAUGUAUCCGAUGUAAAGCGCUUUGAGGGUCUCUGAUAAAGUGCUCUAUCAAAUCUGAUGUAUUAUUAUGUCAUGGAUGGCAGAGAACCUUUUGCAGCCUAACCUGGACAAACCUCAGGUUUUAGUCAUUGGUCCUGGAGCUCAGAGAGAGCAACCAAAUGCAAAAGUCAAAGCACUUUCUUACAACCAUGUCCGCAGGUUUAAGAAUCUGUUUGAGACAUAACAAAAGAGAGCGAGAAAAAAAAAAAAACAUUUCCUCACCAAAAGACAUUGUCAGAGAGCAACAGUCACUGCAGAUGUAAAGAUGUAAAUACUGCCAAACUCAUCUGCAAGAAUGUUGACAAAGACCUGAAAGAGAGCCCACAUUACAGCCAUUUUAAAGUUUCUGCAUUGGUUGCAGUACCGUUUGAUUUCAAGUUUAUUUAUACUGGUUAAUAAAGCUCUAAAAGGUCUCGCUCCAACUUACUAUCAGUCGUGGUUCUAACUUAUGAGCCUGAAGGAGCCCUUAGGUCUUCAGCUGCUCCUCCAUAUGUCAAAGACGACUAAAGAUUGGCUUCUGACUCUGGAGAGGUGUUAGUCUUAGAUGCACAUUUCUCACAUGGGACUCCAACCCAGUCUACUACAGGGGGUCUUCCUGUUUGACUCAUCCAACGUGGUCUCCACUUGAAACUGAUUCAUGUGCAUGAGAAAAUGCAUUGAGCAUUUAUUAGUUCUGCGAGUGGUUCAUAUAAGCUUACAGUUAUGGCGCCUGCAGAGCACUUGUAUUAUAAACAUAAACAUUUAAAGAGUUUGUGUGGACGUUGUAACACCAAACUCCCUUCCAGAUGCAACUCCAGUUCAAACAGCUGUUUUUUUUAUAACCGUCUUAUAAUCCUGUCCUUUACAACAACAUGUCUUUGAAAUGUGUCCAUAUAACAGCACUGUUCAAUACCAAUAUCAGGUAUGUGCUUUAAUAUCACAGCAUUACAGCCUAAUGUGAUGAGAACAGUGAAGCUGGUCAGUGAAAGAGUGUAAUGGCAGCUGGCUAAAGCGUAUGAGCCCUCAGUGUAUCUGCAGCACCAUGAAACAUUACAAUAUGUUCUGUUAUUGUUACAGCAAAGUCCAACGGGGCUGUAAUAAAGUCAGGACAAUUAUAUGGCUACAGGGGGAAAUGCUACACAAUUUCAGUUUAGAUGCUUUAUUGGGACAUAAUACCAAUCGAGCUGUCAUCAAAGAGAGGAUUUAAAUAACAGGAAACUCCAGAAAACAUGUGGUGGCGGUUAGACCGCGGCCAUAUCCCUGGAUCUGUAAUCCAGAGCUGCUGUAAGACAAGGCGAGCCGCUUCCAACUGAACCAGAAACAUCAGAGAAGUAUGCUUCACCAAAGAAAGAGGCAGAACCAGAUUAUAUCCUGAAUUGGCAGAAAUUAAUUAUGCACUUUGAUCAUUAUGGCCAAUAGGAAUUAAAGGGAAAUAAUGAGAGGGGAUUUAAUGCUGGGACUUUGUUUUGAUUGUAGUCUACAUUUAGAAGUGCUGCGUGUGUAAAGAUCUUUUCCAGGCUUUGAGCUCUGUAUACCCUCUAAUAUUAAAAGAGAGAGAGGGGGAGAGAGGUAAGAGAGAGGGGGAGAGCCCUCCACCUACAAAGCUUUGUUAAUUAGCUGCUGCCACAUCAGCGUUUUUUAAUGAAACCUUUCGGAUAUGCCUCAUCACAGGCAGAUCUCCUCUGUUUGGAAAGGAGGACAUGGAGGAGUGCGCCUGCAGAAACUUGGAAAAUGUUCUCUGAAUUUGUGCAACAAUGAGUAUUUCUUCACCAAAGUUUUACAGAUCCAUGUGCGACUCUGGACACUUUGCACAGACACUGUACCUUCAUUCUGUCUGGAGGUUUUGGUUCAGGUGUUUACAUGAUGUGGGUUAAUCCCAUGUGGUGUUUACAUGCGGCUGAAGAUUCAAUCAGAGCCAGAUGUUUAACCCCUCUCUUAUUCAGGUGUAGAUACCGGGUGUGCUCAGGUGGUCAGAUCAGCUCAGGGUCCUGCAUUUGAUGUGAUGUCACAGGAUAUGAUUGGAGAUAUAUUUGUACAAUGUUUGCACUUUGCACGGCUAAAUUUGAAACUAAUAAAUGUGAUCAUAACUCAUUCUGGAGACAGUAAACAACUGCUCACACUCCUUAUGUGUGAGCAGUUAUUUAUGUGAUUUAUGUUUUGAUACAAACCUGCACAACACUGAUGAAAACAUCCACCAUCCACAUUCUUUGGGAAUUUACUGUAUGGCCUUUUACUUUCAAGGAGGUGAGAUGUAGGAGUACAGCAGACAUAUCCCCCAGAUGACAAACAUUCAAUGUAUGAGCGCAGCUUUUAAAAUUCUUUUAUCAUGAAGUUAAGGUUAAAUGCUUUUAAGUGGAUUGAAGAAGUUUAAAUGAUAACAUUAAAUUAAAGCAAGAAUCAGUUUGUAACUGAGCAGUUACAUCUUUUGUCGCAAUACUUAAAGUAGUGAUCUAUGACAGAGGCACAUGAUGACUAGUUGAUACAAACUACACCAGGAGAUUAACCCUUAAGCGCCAAGCUUUGUUUGGAAUUAUUGUCAUAAAGCAACAAUAACUAUUGUCUUUUAUUGGCUGAUACUGAGCAGGUUAACAUCAUAAUUCGGCUGAAUGUUCACAUUAAUACCAAAAUAUAUUUAGCUCUGUUGUUGUGAGCUGCACAGACUCAUUUUUGUGGAUUAAAAUAUCACCUCUAUACAGACCUCUUCAGUAAUGCCUCUGCUAUUUGUAGUCUAAUCUGCUGUGCUGUGCAAAAUAGUUCUGUCCUACUGUUUUUUUUUUUUUUUGUUUUUUUUGUUUUUUUUUACCUGGUUGUCAUAAAUUUGCUGACUGGUGUGUUGGCUAUAUCUGAUGCCUGGAUUCUGCACAUGUGAGCUUCAAAGUUGGGCAUAUUUGGAAAACUUCAGUUCACGUGAGCCGCAGCCUUUUGGACCUGAUUCAUCACAUUUGGUUCACAUGUUCUCUCGCCUGUAUGGGUUAUGGUUGAUGCAAACUGGACAUUUUGUACAUAUAAUAUAUUAGACUGAAAUGUUUAGGCCUACAUAAAAGCUUGUAUUGUAACUUAAAAAGCAAAAAAAGCUAAUUGAUUAUAGUAAAUGCAAAAAAAAAAAAAAAGAGUAAAAAGAAGGGCUUGAAGAUGUCUUGCCAGCUGUCUGUAAUGAAAUUAAAAGUCAUUACCUCCAUUAGUUUGGACCUGUUUAUUUUCAUUGAGAACUUUUCAUUGUGUUUUGACUGUGAUAAUACGCUCCAUGUUAACACAGCUUGAGUAGACAUGUUUGUGUGUGUGUCUGUGUGUGUGCGAUUGCAAAGAGACACAGGAUAGGUCCUCUCUCUGCUGUGCAUACAGGCGUUGGAUGUGUCUUGCUGCUUAAGCGUCCUGCUAAUCACACAAAUUAUUGCUUCCAAUUAGCGCGGUGGUAGUAAUUAAUUUCCGACUAUCACAUCGUUUAGCGUGCUUUCACACCGUGGCACCUGUUUUCCCCAAUCCUGACACCCUGUUUGUUUACCCCUCUGAUAUUAUUUGCAUUUUAAAGCUUUAGUUGAAGAAGGCAGUCUGCAUGCUGCUGCAGAGAUGUUUUUAAGGAACACGGGUCACAGACAAUAGGACUACAAAGAAGCAAAAGCAAAGACUCCCACUGAGAGCACUCCUCGCACCAACACUGCUGCACCCUCCCUUUCUCCUCCACCUCUCUAAUAUGGAUUAAUAAAGUGAUAACGCUCUUUGUUAAUUAAUAUGAGCGUGCAGUACUAAUUACUUUGCUGUACGACAAGCAAGCUGUUGAACCCGUAAAAGGAAUGGUGUCAGAUCGGGCUGGCGAUGCUACAGCGCCAGGGCUGUGUUCAGACUAGUAAUGGAGUACAGAGGGCAGAUGGAGCGAGAGAAAGGAGAGAGAGGAAGAGGUUUGUGAAUAAUCACAAUGCAAUCAAGAAGCUCUGAUAUUCAUAAGAGCUGCUGAAUAUUCAGAAGAUCGUCGUGCCAGUCAACAGUCAGUGUCAGGCCCACACAUGCUACAAAUCUGUCCAACAAAGCAAACGCACGAGCAUUAAAGAUGUGAGGAUGUUUUACAGCCGGCCUCGACAGGAUCAGCAGCGCUCUGCAGAUUUAUGUCCUCAGAGCGACUUUAUCUCCAGCGCUGAUACUGAGCACAGGCCAAAGAUCUCUGUAAAACUUUUGACUUAAAUCACUGUCAUAAAUUACAGCCAGAAUGAGUGAAACUUUAUUUGAAAUACACACUAAAACAGACAAAAUUAUAAACACUGAGAACAAGACAAGUGUGCAACUGUCUGCACCACAGAACUUUUAUAGAAAUGUAGGAUUUUCAUUUGAUUGAUUUGAUCACACAUGAUGCACAGAUGCAUCUGAAAAAUGUGUUUAAUAUGGUGAAAAAGUAAAAAUUAAAAUAGAUUGAAGAGGCAGCACAUAUUCACUACGAUGUCUGGACAAUGGCUUACAGCUCAAAACAACAACAAAACAUACUUAAAAAUAUCAGAAUAUUGACUUUUUGGUAACUUCACUAUUUUUACUUAGUAUGAAAAAAACUUUUUCACAAUUUCCUCUGAUUCAGAAACACUUAUACUUAUUGUAGAUAGAAUCUGUUCAUUCAAAAAACAGGCUAGGUUUUUUCAAAUGUUGUUCAAGAGUAACUUGCUAAAUUUUAAUCUUAAAUUUAUUGAACAGCAUUUAAAAAAUUACGUAUUUUAAAAUUUGAAACUCUUCAACAUCAAUAUUGAAAUCAACUUUGUUUUUACUGUCACUGUCAACAAAAGCCGUUUAUUGCCUUUGUUGACAGUGAGGAGAAAUCUCAUAAGGGUUCUCCACUGGUUAAUUGUCAAGGGUUGUAGUUUAGCCAGCAACCACUAGGACCACACUCUCUGUGCAUGGGGCCUACCGUUGCUCUUAAUGUGAAUUCUUAACGGUUUCUGUAUUUUUGGAUGAAGUUAAUGCCAUUAAAUUUACUGUAUGAUCUCUCAUGACCUGGAUUGACUGGUCUGCUAACGCUCCACCAGAAGGAGCGCCGAUGGGAGUUUUUUGAAGGCAUCUGAAGACCCUGAGAGGUCGGAAAUAGCUUCAAAAUAAAGAAAGAAAAAGAACAAAAGUUGUAUGAAGGCUUUCUCCUGUUUAAAAAUGUGGUGGUGUUGUGAUUUUCCAGCAGCAAGAAGACAAAGUGGCUCGCUAUUAAAGAGACACGUCAUAAUCAAGUGUUUAUGUUGGAGGCAACAUAGACAGCAUUUAUAUUUUUAAAUGUUUUUUUUAAAUUUCAAAUUCAUAAAAUGUAUGUCAGAAAGUGGUCAAAGAAAUCAGAGAAAAGGAAACAAAAACAAUGAAUAUCAUCAGCAGACACCAAAAAUCUUCAUGCACAUGUGCUGAUACAUUUACUCAUCGACUGUAAAAUCCUGAACUUAACCUCAAUUUACCAGCAAAUUCUUGUGAUUAUCUUAUUCAACCAAUGUCAGCAUGAUUUAUCUUGUUUAGAUAUAACCAAUUUUAGUUACACAGUUAAAUGCUUUCACACCCAUAAGGAUUUAUUUCAUACACAGUUUUACUGUUUUUUUUACCCGUGCAUUACAGGUACCUGCAUGUUGCUGAACAUGUUUGUUUAAUUACUCCUGCAAAAGUUAUCUGAUGAUAAACUACAAACAAAAAAAAGAUUAUUAGCUCUUUUCUCAGGUAAUCCAGACAGAGCGAGAAACCAGACCAAGGAUGAUAUUUGGAGUCAGAUUUCAUAAAGGUAAUUUUACAUUGAAAUCUUCCAGAAGUGUGUUUUUUUUUUUUGUUUUUUUUUUUUCUGCACCAUGAUGCCCAAAAAGAUUCUUUGCAUUUGUGAACAUGUGAAGAAAUUCACCCCUGAAGUGAUUUGCAAAGGUGGUUUAUGCAUUCAGGAAUUUUGAGCUUGAAAUAUUUUUUAAUCUUUGUUACUCUGAGUUUUUUUUUUUUUUUUUCCCCCUCUUGGUUUAGCUGCUCCUUGAUAAUCACACAAAAGUAGGAAUCAAGGGGCACAUCUGAGGGACCCUUCAGCUGGUCCUCAAACUCAGAGCUCACUGUUCAUUUCAUUGAUAAAUUUUCCAUUACAUUGAAGCCAAAGCACAAUAUAAAGUCUUUCUUAUUUUACACUUUAAGAUUCCUUUGUCAGAUAAAUUUCAUAUUUUGAGGGUCUUUUGGAGCUCUUCCCCUCACUGUGCUGUGCUAACGCAGCCCUCAGUGGUAAAUGUCAGUGCAUGUGAGCAGGAACACAUAACUUUCCCUGUAAUACAUGAAGCGAGAGGCUCCGUCCUCUCAAAGAUUGUUGCUUUCAUAACACUGAGAUCAGUUUCCUUGCACACUCUUCCCCCUACUGGUGCAAACCCAUAAUCAUUGGGCUUAACCAUAUGUGUGUAUUCAUUAACAUAUUGAUAUCUGUUAUCUAUAAUUCAUGGAAACAUGUUUUUAAAUUUAUAUUCAAAAUAAGAAGCUGUAUUUUGAUUCUUGUUGGGCGUGCAGGGAGCAGGCGUUUCAGCUGUUUUUCAGCAUACACCGUCUGAGCAGCAUUACUUUUUAAAUACUUUUAAUACUUACACAUUUAAACGCCUGAUCACUCUUCUUCUGUGGGUUUCUGCUGCUGUCGGGUUUUAUAUUUUACAAACACUCACACGGAGAGGAUUGGCUUUCAUUUGUGAGCCUCUUUUCUUCUUCCUAGACAAAAUGAAACAGCCUUUACAAAGAUUUAUGACUUUUUUGAGGGGGUAGAAAAUAUUCUUAAUAAGAUCAAAUUUAGCAGAAUCCACCUAAAAAUCUGUGCCUUUGUUUUCUGCAGAACAUAUCCUGUGAGCGUGAGUCUUUUCAAAGUAAAGACAAUUAUCUAUCAGGGUGAGAGUUUACGCUUCAUGCUUCAUCUAUUUAAAAUUUCUUUGAAGUCUUCAGCAAAAAAUAAUUCCCAUUACAGUCAAGAGGUAAUAAAAACAACCAAGCAGAUGUUUAAAAAAGAAAAUCAAUCAAAGCUUUAUUGUUUUUAUUCGAAAAAAAUCAAAAAUGACUAAAAUUUACCAGUCAAAAAAAAAUAGGAAGAACACUUCAGGAAUUUCUUUUCAUACCAUCAGUGUUGCAAAAAUGUGAGAGGAGUCGAAGGAAACAAGUUGCAUCCCCCCUCUGCAGGCGUCUGCAGGGGGGAGGAGGAGAACGAGGGAGGAAGAGCUCCCGCACUGUAUGCAGAGGGCGAGGCAGAAACGCUCCUCUAAAGUAGGUUUGAUGAGAAUUAACGGCACUAGAAGACGGUGAUUUUUUGACAAUGGCUAUUAAGAAUUAAUCAGACCGGUGCUCAAUAAUUUAUCGUGCUUCCCAAAGUCCCCCAUUAAUUUUUGAUCCUCUCCGUCCCUCCCCAUCCAUUAUUUGCAUGAAAUCAAACAAAGAUUUCUCAAUAAUGUGUUGCUUGAUUGACGGCAGAAGUCUUUAUCAGGGCUAAAAUAUGUUGAUGCAGAGCGGGGUCGAGGCCUCUUGUAAUGGGCAUGCGAGCUGUUGUGUUGCAGGAAUGCUGAAUUUCUAUCAGGAUGUUUGACAGCGCUGCUAAACCUUUUAAAUUAUGUGCAAGAGUCCAUUUAUGAAAUACUGAGUCAAAAAUGAGUAAUUUCCUGAUUGUAGGACUUAAAAUGUUCACAUACUUCUUCAGCACAUAUUAAAUAGCUUUCUUUAGGCUUGCUCUGCUUAUUUACAGAACAUUUUUGAGGUAGAAAUAUAAACUAUGCUGUAAAAUCAUAGAAAAAAAUUCAGUGGAAAGGCAAUCUAAAUCUUCAGGGGCAUAUUUGUAUGUCUAAAACCACACAUGUUCAUGAAUAGUACAUCAUAACAAAGAGGGUUAAAUAAUAAAUUGACAAACAUAUCUCAAGUUGCAGCUUUUAAUAAGCUCUGAAGCUCCAGCUGGAAGAUGCUGCAGCCUCUCUGUAAUUAUUCCAUAACCACUGCUGGAUUACUCUGAUUUAUGUUGUAAAUGGGUUUUUAAUAAAAGUGCACGAGGAGGAGAGAAGAGGAGGAGAAAAGAGAGCAACGAAAAGACAUGUGAGGCGAGACGAGAUGAGAUGUGGACUCUCAGAAGACAUCAGAGAUAAAUCAUUUUUUCUGUCUACCUCAAAACGAACAGAAAACUUGAACGUCCGACAGACAAAGUCUGAUCCGUCAGGACUGUCUUUGACCACAAACCAAACUCAUACCCUUGAUUCAGAGGAACAGCAGAGUGGUCAUUAGAGGAUUAUACGUAGCCUAAAGCUACGGUGUCAGCUUCCUUAUGUUAAUGGGCCUGUGGCCUGGAAAAAUGAGCAUGGAGCUCUCUGGGGCACAGAGGAGAUCACCUUGCUCUCUGUUGUUCUCAUUAAAUAUAAAGACCAGAGCUCAUCUCCGUUUCUAAACCUCUGACAUCGGCUUUUGAAAACUGACUGCAACCAAUCAGGCAAGACGUGAUCAAGAAAUUGAUCUUGCUUUGCUGUUCAGUUAAAUACAGUUAGUGUUUGUAGUUCCUCCCUGAGCUCAAAAGCAGUGUCAUAUUUCUGUCCUCUUUGUUGUUUUCUUGUAUUUUUAUAUUGCAAAGCACUUUGGUUGUGUCUGUUGUUUUUAAGUAUGUUGUUUUAAUACAGGUGGACUUGAUUUGACUAUUUUGGUGAACGAUGUCCCCGCAGCUUUAUUACGGAAGUCAGAUGUCAUGAUCGGAGUGAUGACAGAGGUUAAAAGCUAUCUUUUGUAACUUCUUUCACCUCCUAGAGGAGGAUAAGGAAGAUAAGGCCGGCACUUCAAUAUGACUUUGGCCUAUGGCCCGGUGUAACCUGUACAUGGAGUAACACUCAUGACUCAUUGCAUACUACUCGUCAUGGUACCCAUACUGUAACUGUCUACACAACAUGUAGGUUACUUAAGUUACUCGUCACAGCACACAGACUCUCCACAGUAAGUUACACAUAGCUACACACGGGCUCAACACCUUGGAACUUACUGCUGGCUAGGCUAACGUCACACAAUGUGGCAAACACCAGGCUGCUAACAAUACAUGACAUUCAUAGCACCAUUUCCAAGAAAAAAAUAAAGUACUCGUUCCAGUACAUGUAACAGCAACACAUCCUGCUCGUAAUGAACAGUCACUUACUUAUCCAGCAGGAUCAAGGCAACAUGAGUGUCGGACCUCAGUCCAAUCUACUCCUUCAGGGCUCUCCAUCGAGGAAAAGCGACGCCGAUGCAAAUCCGCAUUAGUCUUCUCCGUCGGUCACUCUCCUUCUUCGCCAACAGACCUUCUGCUGAACAGGAAGCCUUUUUCUUUUUGAGUAGGAUCCACUUCUGAACCUCUUGGUCGCUUCUUCUAGUUCUCCACCAUGUUGCUACUAGCAGCACUCUCCUCCCCCCUCCCUUCUCGUUGUCAGGUAAAACCGAGUUCAACGCAACAUUUCCUUUGUGCCAACACAGGAAUGUCACCCCUGACACCAAAUACAAAAAGAACAAAUACUGAAAAAUAACAAGAUGUUAGAGGAGCCAAACAGCUCAAUCUGCGUUGUAUUAUCUCCUCUUGUAGUGAGUUGUGUGAAACGGAUAUUUACAGACAUGUAGAUCUUACGAACUAUAGCUUUAAAUACUGGGCUUUAUUGAAUCCAUUUUAUAUUUUCUUCUCCACUUCAGGAUAUUUUUUUUGCACCUCUUACUUUAAAGUAUGUACCGGGAGCCUGAUUCUAACUAAAACUUUAAAUUCAACUUAGAAACCAUGAUGGGCCUUAAAUAAAUGUAACACUUGUCUUUGGAAAAUGAGACUAACAAUAUUUUUUAUUGUACAGUUUGCUCAUUUUUUCAGUAUUGUCAAACUGUAAUAUUACCUGUAAGAUUAGUGAAAGACUAAAGCAGCACUGGUGUAAAACAGUGUCAGAAAGGGGAUCAUUUUAAUGCUUAGUUUUACACUUACACAACCAGAGCUACAUCAUGAUAAGGUGUCUCUGAGUCUAUACAUUUUACUUUUUAUUGUCACAGCGCUGUGCCUCCAUCUUAUGAGUGUCGAUGUUCUCUUUAAGGUUUCAGCUCAGUCUGCUGGACAGGCAAGUACAGUAAUAUCAGGGCCAGUAAACAAUUUGGUAGGAGUUUUGGCGCUGUGGGCAUGUGCCCAGUCCUGCUGGUAAAGAAAAUCAACAUUUCCAUAAAGGUUGUAAUUAUAGCGAGCCAACUCCCCCAGAUCUUCCCUUCUUUUGUUUUAUAGGUCCAGAAUUUGCAUGCAGAGAGCUCUGUGCUCCUUGUUUUUGACAUUGUGCCGUGUCAAACAUUCAAAUGUCGGCCUGUGAGUCAAUGCCAGAAGAUCAGAGGAAGUUAGAGCACAUGGAUCCCAUCAGUAGACUCGUCUCAGCCUGCAUGGUUCUGCCACAGUAGCUGUCUACAGGCUGCUGCUGGUCCUUAGUUGUUACAGAAGACUUGCAGGAAGAUUAUUUCAUUACCAGCAGUUCCUUUUUUUUUUAAUUAAUUUUUUUUUUUUGUCCUCUAAUAUUAUUGAAGUAACUGUUUAACUUUAGGCAUGGAGUAUGUGUGCUUUGUUAUUUGUGUGUGUGAGUGAGUGUGUUUCACGGUACAAGCAUCAUUGAGAAUCUCUGUGAAUCUCAGUUAUCUUCUGUCCUUGGUCUGUGGACUGUGUGUGGAAGAAUGGAGUCUGUAGUGCUUAUAUGAGAUAAAAGUGUGUGUGUGUGUGUGUGUGUGUGUGUGUGUGUGUGUGUGUCUGUGUGUGUGUGAGUGGGUGCGUGUGUGUGUGUGUGCGCGCCGAGAUCCAUGUGAAUAUGAGUUGCAGAGUGAAUAUAGAUCAGUCUCCCAGAGGCUAAGUGAGAUGGCUGCUAUAAUAUCCCCCAAUUACACACAGAUCAGCCCCUGACCAACCACCCACUCCUGUCACUGGCCAUCACAUACUGUGAGUGCACGCGUGUGUGUCUGUGUGUGUGUGUCUGUGUGAGGAGUUUGGGGAUAGAAGGUGUAAAUGUAUGCACUCUCAGUUAGCGUGCCUAAAAACAAACCAUGGAAACCUAAAUAUAAGAUGACAGUGGUGAUAUAGCUCUCCACAGUAAUCACACUAGCAGUGGAAAUGUUUGUGUGUGUCUGUGUGUGUGUGUGUGUGUGUGUGUGUGUGUGUGUGUGUGUGUGUGUGUGUGUGUGUGUAGGCUGCAUCUGAGGGUUAAUGUUAAGUAUGUCUGUGGUUGCUGGUGCACCACUGAAUGUGCAUCUAAAUCUGAAUCUGCAGAUGCAAUGUCAUUACUAUGAUGUAUGCUUUUUGCUACCUACCAAACAAAUUAAUCUAUUCUUUGCCUUUGUUUUUUCACAUGGGAAAUAUUUUCUCUGUGUAGCUAGAUUAUGGCAGCAUCAUACAGGAGCUACAUGGUCAACACUGAUCGAAAAAGCAGUGGUUUUGAAAAAAAAAACAAGCCCAGCAGUCCAUUAAGUACAAAUACUCAAUACCUGUUCAGACUUUCACAUUUGAAUAGUUGAAUUAGCAUCAAUAAAUAUGGAUCAUGUGGAAAUACUUUCAAAAUAAAGCUUGCCAAGAAAUACAUAUAAGAAUUUAAAACCUCUAGGUCUACAGUGCUGACGCUUUCCGCACUCCAAUUUAGCACCAACCCACCAUAGAGUGCUAUUGUCGGUUAAGUUUAGGUGCUAGCAAAUCAAAUGACAAGUGCAUAAGCUAGAUAAUGACAUUUGCACCAUAGGACAAAAGGGUGCUGCGAUACAUUAAGUUUACGUGAUGACUGCCUCCAGCUAACAUUAUCUUGUUUGAGUCGGCCUGAAAGGAUCUAAAAUGAUCACAGUUGAGGUUCUGUGGUGACUUUAGCUUUGUCUUGCAUAUCUGACCCGACCGCUGGAGCGGAUCCACAGUAGAGCUGGAUGGCGGGUGUAUUGUGUGGAAUUACGCACAUAGAUUAUAAUGCUUGCGUGUUUGAUCAGGCUGCCAUACUGGAGCAGAGCGGAGGGCAGCCGUUCUGUAUCUUGUAGAAUUUAGCCAUUACAUAAGACUCCCAAGUGGAUUAUUGGAUCUCUCUUGCUGAGGUUUCCGCUGCCUCCCAGAACAAGACGACUUACAUGCGACAUACUGACUGAUGACUGUACCACGAGUACCAGACGACUUUAAAAGUUUAUUUAUUCAUUUAUUGUUAUUUCCCUGGUGUGAGAGUCGCAGAAUGAGGUAACUACUCCUUGUGUGACCUGGAGCUUGACCUACCAGGUCUCACUGUAACCUUUCACAUGAUAGGAGACGAACAGGUGGCUCAGUUACAAAUUCAAGAAUUAUGUUGAAGACUAAAAACCACUUCAUUUUGCAUUAGGCUGCAAAAAUGUGAUUUUUUUUUUUGCUGUCAAAAUGUGAAUCUGGGGAUUUGCUGUGGCAGAGCUUUGGGAGUACGCUUCACAUGGACACCUCAAAAAGAAACUUUUGUUUGCACUCAUUUUUUGAACACUGGUUUUACUUGUAAAUCUACCCGGCAUGAGUAAAGGGAGGAGCAGGUAUCAGUGUAUUACUGUCUGCAGAAUAACAUCCAUGCUCAUGACUGCUCCUCCAGCAUAUAUCCAGUUUAUCUCCGGCUGAAGACAUGAGCAGUAGGUUUGGGUUUAUGGUUGGUUUUACUAGGCGGAGCACCUUUACAGCUGUACUUCACAUGCUCAUGUGUUGUAAGAGAUUUAUCUGCCUAUCAUCAGUCAGCCAGAUGUGACUGCGAUGAUGUUUAUAUCCAUGUGUAUGUGUGUGUUUGUGAGUGUGUGAUUUGUGUGUGUUGGUGCCCUCUUGAUCUGACCUGUAGGUGCAUUAGCUGAUUUCUGCUGAACUCACAAAGAGCUGUUUGAGAUGCUGUGGUGAUUAUAGCAGAAACUCACACACUCGCUCACAAAGAAGAGCAGAAGCUGCAGAUCAGUCUGGGGACCGGCCACUGCGGGCAGCGUCUAAUUGCUCUCAGAGGAGAAAGAAAACUGGUGCAGAUGUACCUGCUCUCUUUGUUUUCUCUUCCCUUUCUUCGCCCAUGUUUCAGCUCCUCCUGCACUGCCCAUCAUUGUCUGAGCAGCGACUUCAUCACUCAGGGUGACUGCGGAGUUAAAGAGGAAGAGUUGGAAAUGGAGAGAGUUACAGGAGGAGACCGAGAGAGAGAGAAGAGGCCCUUUAUUAAACCUGCUGCUAAUUGAGAUAGCACGAAAAUAAUGGGGAGUGACACUUUAAUGAAGACAUGCUACGUGUUACCACUUCUUGCUUCCUUUGCCUCCGCUACUGAAAGGAGGAGGAGGUGAAAUGAAGAGAAUAAAGCAGAGGGGAGGGAAGAGGAAAGCAUGAAGAAAGAUCGGAGGGUGAGAGCUUCAACUGUUUUAUUGCAAAAAGAAAAAAUAAAGGCAGAAUUGAUACAGGCUCGCAUCUCAUGCUGUAAUGUGUUUUCAGCGGCACGUCAAAAGUAAGAGUUAAAGGGAGUUAUAGGCAGGGAUAUUGUUCUAUCACGUUAAAACACGAUUAUGUUUCAUCAGGGCUGUUUCUCCACACACUUGCAAUAGACUGCUCUUUGUACUGUGUUCGAUGUAACAUUCAGGGUGUUUGUUUUCUCCCCUCAAAUAAAAAAAAAGGACAGAAAAAGAAACUGUCGAACAAAGUGAAGCCAAAACAGAGAGGAUAUUCCUCCCUGAUAUCUCUCUAUUCGGUUACAGCUCUCAAAAUCUGACACGAGUCGACAAUCAUUGGAUUUUUUUUUUCAGGGAGGUGAUGAUCGGCAAUAUGAAGAAAACACAGCUUCAUAAUAUGUCAGUGUUACAGACAUCAGUAAUACAAUAACAGCAGUUUUAGGAGGGGAAAGUGAACAUCUAAUGAGGAAUCAUAGACAUCUGUUUUUGUCUUUUUAUUCUGAUAAGAUUAAAAUGAGCUUUCACAAUUAUGUGCAUUUAAAGGAAUGUGGUAACAAAGGAUUCACUGCUAUGCAUGAAAAUCUGCUGCAAAGUUUGACCAGCGUGAUGCAGUUUCUCAUCUCAGUAACUGUCUUAGUGAAAUACUGUGCAUCUGUGUGUGAGCGUGAAAACAAGCUUCAUAAUACUGUAAAGUUUCUAACACUGCAAAGGGAGGCUGCACCCUGCUGAGACUGAAGAGUGAGACUGCCUGUGCUCACCCCAGUCUAAAAAAGUCACACACAUACACACACACACACACUCCUGUACUGCAGAUGAAUAUGAAAUCAGAAACAGGUAUAAAUAUUUAUGAAGUGCAUUAUUCUUUGGCUUUUUGCUAAAGCAGAGGUGAGCAUGAUUUGGCCCUGUCUUCCUCUGUUUUGCACCCUCUUCACAAACGCCGGCCAAUAUAGACACACAGGAAAACCAGCAAGCUGGAAACCACACACACACACACACACACACACACACACACACACACACACACAGUGAAGAAAUACAUAACCAACAGCUUAACUGAAACACUAUAUCUGUGCAGGUAUAAAGGUGCAUCUGUUACGUCCGCCUGCAAAGUAGCAUCCUGGGAGACCUGCCAAUUCAAACAGUUUCAACCCCUCACACAAACACACACACACACACAUACACACUCACACACACAUACACACACACACACACACACACACACACACACACACACACAAAGCAGAUGAAUGCAUUUACCUGCAUGAGUGGAAAUAAAGGAAGCACAGUUAGACUGAUGAUGCUAAAGGAUUUAAGACAUUUCUGUGGUAUAAAAAAAACUGCCCGUAGUUUUUGCAAAGUUAUCAGAAUUGUAAUUUGUGUAAUUUGUCCUUUAAAAAUGUAAUUAAAACCAUAACACAAACCCUUCUGAACUCUGAACCUUAUGUCUAAGUAAAUUCAGCUAAAUCACAGGAGAACAGGCGCAACUGUUUUCAGUCAGAUGCAAUCUUUAGAUGAAAAUGGGUAAAAUUCUAGGUCACAUUUUGGGAUUUUUUUCUCUUCCAUAUCUGCAUUAAUGCUGAACAAUAUCUACAGGUUUAGGACAGAGACUUUUUCAGGGAAGACCUUCAUAUUUCAGCAAGACAAUGACAAAACACAUUCUGACAACAGGGAUUACAACAGCAUGGCUCUGUAGUAGAAGAGUCCUGCUAAGAAACUGGUCUGCCUGCAGUCCUGACUUGUCCCCCCUAUCAAAAACAUCUUUAGCAUCAUGACAUAAAAAUCAGGACAAAGGAGACCCUGAACUAUUGAGCAGCUGAAAUCCUCUAUCAGGCAAGAAUGGGACAAUAUGUGACUGUCAUUAGUCAUUUAGUCAUAGUCAUUUUUGCAUUGGCUGGCCGACCCCGCCUCCCAGUUUUGACAGUUGGGACAGUCACCCGAUGGCAGUCGCCAUUACAUGCCAUUUAACGCAGAGGAAAAUAUGCCAAUUCCCUGCUGUUGUUUUUCAGGUAAGUUACUGACGUAAAUUGGUGGAAUAUUAGCUUUAAAGGCAAUUCUGUGAUGGUUAAUAAAGUUGCUAACUACUGGGUAUGCCCAGUCUCCUCUCAGACACAAACGGACCAGGUAGCUACAGGUAAGCACUAAAGCACCGGACUGCUUGUCCUGGUGCUGUUUUUAGUUCUGUUAGCUUUUUAGUAUAGUAGUCUGUUGUUCAGCAAAAGAUUUGGUGGUGGCCGAUCUGCACAGCUGUCCUUCACUCAGUCAAAUGGAUUUGGUCAUUAAAAAAAGUGAAACGGCUACAACUAUUGAAGGUACGCAGUAAAGUGACAUUUAUUUUAACUACUCAUGUGCUUGGCCCCCCACCCCCUGUUUAUUUAUUUUUAUUAUUUUCUUUUGCAGGCUGUCGGAGGAAGAACCAGUUAUGUGCGCUGUUUUGCAGGUGUUUGCUUCUCCCGUCUGUGCUGAGUCCGGACAAUAAAGUGUUUUGACUUGACUUAUGGCUCUUCAUUAUUCACACACAUGAAAGUAGGUAGCAACUAGUAAUCUGUAUUAGGUCGGCAUUGUUUUAUACAACUUGGAUUCAUCGUCCAACCAUCGUGUGUUGAUCAUUUUAGAUCAAGGCCUGACUUCUUUGCGACAUUGUGAAACUAAAUGUAUUGGGCAUGAUGUCGACAUGAUGUACAUGUGCUGUCUGGGAUGAUGGGAAACCAUGACCAUCUUUUUUCAUCUAGGUUAGUUUAAACUACAUAUUUUCCAAAACUCAGUGAAGACAUGCUCUUUUAUUGCAUUUCUUUGUGUUCUGUUCAACGCUAAACCGUGAGGGGUCAUGGAAGCACCAGCCUUAAGAGAGUGAAAGUGAAAUCAAAAUAAAAUCUUACUUGAUGGAGGACUUGGCCCAGCUGCUGGUGGUAAAAUCACAAGUACCAUGCAGGUCAAAUAUCUCUAUGUGUCCUGAUGUGUUUGCUUUCAUCAACGAUUAAAGAAAAUAAAGCCAAAGUGAGGAAUUCUGCACACAGUUCUGCAACCACUCUCUACUGUUGUCCCAUUAUGGUCAUCUCAGUGUGUUUGAUCACUCAGCAGGAAUCUUUAAGAGCCUGUUGAAUAUAAAGCAGUACACGCUGCUGGUCAUUUGGAUGGUUAUCUUGCUCCUAUUGGUUGUCACAAUUCCAUUUAAGACUGUACUGAUGAAGAGCUGCUCACUGCGUUGAUAAUCCAGCUGCUUCGGGUGGAUGGAGACUUUUAAAAUAGUUUACAAUGCUCCAAAUGUCAGCAAAGUCCACACACACUAAUACAAAUCAUCUCAGCUGCAUGUGGGUACAAUCGUCUGUGUAAACUGCAGAGAAAAUAAAGUUAUUACGUCUCUCCCUCUCCCAGCCACCACGUCUCUCUCGUCUAAUUCCUGUGUCCUCCAGUGUGAUGGUAAAAAAUGAGGCUCCUUACGCAGCGAGCUGCAGCUUUUUUGAUUGAAGUGAGUGAUUUUCCCCAGCCGCACACCUGCGUAAAACAGAUGAUAAUGCUGUUGGAGUCAUUUACUGUGACUUUACCAAGAUGAAUAUGAGCAGCGCUUUCUCAUCAUGCAAAUGUGGCUGUGCAGAAACACCUCUCUGCUUUGCCCUCCUCUCUGGGGAGGACUAUUUUUUGCAGCAUUACAAAGAAAGAUUACCAUAACCGAGUGAUUCAACUCUUUACUGGAGAAUGUAAACUCGCCCUUUACUAUUGCUGUGACUGUUAUUAUUAUUUGUUUUGGGUAUAACACUAUAUUUACAAUGAAACGGAGCAUAGCAGGGCCUGGCUGUGGGCUGCAGUGGCACCAUGCAGCCCUGCUCAGAUUGAUAGGAACACAUCAUCAUUAUUGGACAGUCUCCACUGUCACAUCGCCUCCAGCUUAAAUGUCUUGGUCUUUCUCUCUGCCACUCUUUUCUCUCCCUCCCUCUCUUUCUCUAAUAGCCCUUCAUUUCCUCUACCCAUUGCCCCUGCAGGCCACAUGUAAUACUCUGAGUGACCCGACUAGCUGGGAAUACACUAAAUUUGUCACACACACACACACACACACACACACACACACACACACACACACACACACACACACACACACACACACACACUGUCAGAGAGAAUAAGGCGGUCAGGGACAUACGUCUUCUCUUGACACUAAAUGUCACCUGUCAGCCAAGACGUGUGGAGACAGAGGAAGAAGAGAGCAGGUAAACAAUAAGACAGAAAGCACAGCGAUGGAGUAAAAAAUCACAACCUGCCUGCAGAGAGCAAGAUUUGACUUUAUAGAUUUAGCAAUCACAGACCAUUCAAACCUUUACAAUAUGCUCCUCAUAUUGAUCUCCAUAACUUCAACAACCAUCCGUGGAAAUAAAAAGCUUUAUGCAACAAUAACAACAUCUCUUACCUCCAGCCUUUAUCACAGGUUGAACGCAUAAGUGGUUGUUGCUGGAAAGAAGGGCUUCACAGGGUUCAUUAAAGGGAUUUUCCAGCGUAAAAUUAAGCUAGGGUCAAACACACCGUAACCCUUGAGAGAUGAAUUUUGCUGACCUCUUGCUUCUCAAGUUACACAAACUUCAGUAAUGCGCACAAACUUCAACCAAAAAGCCACUCUAUAGCCACAAAUAAUUCUCAGAACAGCACCUAACUUCAUCAACAGUACAUACAGGGUCCUAGCCAUAGUACUAGCCACCAAACAUCUUUUUAGCUUUGACUGGUUUCUUAAGCAAAGAGACUAAACACAAUUCACCCACUCUCCCCCAGCAGCUGCUUGUUUGUGGGGGAGCCCUGACGAGUCGAUCACCAAGUGCAGCGGAGUUUCAAAGAUGAAGCAAGAACAAGGAAGGACAUUAUUUCUUCAUGGAAAUACAAUCAGACUGAGACGCUAAGGCAGACGAACUACAGCGUCUGCAGUGCAAAAGGAUUAAUAUGAUUAUUAAUUAUGAUUAUUACUUUAAGAAAAUGAUCCGCUGCACCUGGUGAUCGACUCGUCAGGGCUCCCCCCACAGACAAGCAGCUGCUGGAGGAGAGUGGGUGAGUUAUGUUUACUCACUUUUCGAAAGAAAUCAGGCAAAGCUAAAAAGAUGUUUGAUAGCUAGUACUAUGGCUGGGACCCUAUAUGUACUGUUGAUGAAGUUAGGUGCUGUUCUGAGCAUUAUUUGUGGUUAUAGAGUGGCUUUUUGGUUGAGGUUUGCAUGUGGAAACGUAGACCGCUGUGUAUUGCUAUUGUGCGGCUGUUGCUGAAAGUGGUAAAACUAGAGAAACAAGUAGUCAGUGACAUUUAUCUCUCGAGUGGGUGUCUAACUCAGUGUUACAGUGUGUUUGACCCUAAUUAAAUUUUACACCUGAAUAUCUCUUGAAGAGAUUUUUUUUAUGAGUGAAGCCGCAAUUUAUGUGAUUAUAUCAAAAUUCAGUCAUCUUUCUUUAGUCAUCUGUUCCUUUUCUGAGGAAUCCCCUCAAAAGUACAGCGGGUUAGAGGUCCUGUUUCACCUAAGGAUCAGUAAGAAAAGGCCAUGGCAGCAGAAGUGAGCUGAUGAUAACCAGGAGGAGGACAUAAAGUAUAAACAGACACCAUUUCUCACUGAACUUCUGCGUACUGUAUAUAUCCUGUGUGUGUGUAAAGUUUGCAGCGAGCGCUGAUCCAAUAUCAUCUCACAAGUUCUGAUAUCAUCGUGCACACUUUAGGCAAAGUCUGAUUACAAUGCAGCAAGAAAACCACAGCGGGGACACGGCUGCUCCAUCACGGCUGCUAUCUUGUUUCAUCAUUGUCAUAAGCACAUUUCUCAUCUGCCAUUUGGAAACAUAUUGCCCUGCAUGCUAUCGUGGCUUUGAUAGCAAGAAGCUCCACUUCCCUGUUUUGAUAUUUAUGAAUAGUUGCAUCGGGGAUUGGACGUUGAUCUCUCUCAUACAGGCGUCAGACUCUCAGUGUGUGUGUGUGUGUGUGUGUGUGUGUGUGUGUGUGUGUAAGUGUGUGCUGGGUGAGGGAUGGGACCGUGUGUGUCAUAAGUAACUGACCUGGGACUCCCCCAUGUUUAAUCUGAGAGCCAAACAGAACUCAUCUGCAGGCUGAAUAUUGAGUGUUUGAGCGUUCUGUCUCUCUCACACACACACUCACAAACACACACACACAUAUUAUAUGCCUGUGUCGGUGUGUCAGGAGAAUGAUAGUAAUGUUUGCCUGUGGAAAAGCCUUUACAAAAUGAACAAGAGGCCGAGUCUUCUAAUAAAUUACCCGUUGGGAUAUGAGCUUUGUGUUCCUCAGCUCGUCAUCCUGCAGCUCUAAAACUCUAAAACAGGCUCUCAGCGUUGACUAAUACAUUGUUCCCAUAGUUUAAACUCCUGUCGCUGCCUCCAGGUGGACUGUAGGUGAGCUUUAACUCACUGUGUUAGUUUCAGCACACAGAACUCUCUGCUAGACUUCUUCAAGAUAUCGGAUAAUAUUUUUGUUUCAUAGGAAGAUAUUUGUAAAGGUAACAAGUGUCAAUCCUUUAUGGACCAAUACAACACUAGAUUACUGAAAAGGCUACUGCUGAAGGCCAGGUUUAUAUGUAUGAAAGGUAUUAUAAGGCUUAUAAUUGAGUUGUGCUUCAUGCAGCUCAGUCUGCAGAAAAUCAGCCUCUGCUUUACUUCAGUACAAGUUUAUGAAAUCAGCAACAGGUCAUUUUUUCGGAACUGGAAACAGGAUAAGAUUUUGAAAAAAAAAAAAAAAAACUGUGCAGCUCAGCUGUUAAAACCCCUCUGACAUACAAAGGGCAACAACAGAAAUAAAACUCAAAACAGAUUACUACCACAGAAGACACCUCUGUGGAACGGAAACAAAAUGACAGGUCCUCACAGAGGCUUCUUUAGUUCAUGCUGGACUGGAAACAGAAUUUUUUUUUUUGGUACCAAUUUCUAAACUUUUCUUAAAGUUUCUUUUAUUUGAUUUUAUUUUUUGUUUUUAAUUUUUGAAGUAAAAAACUAAUCUGAUCACUAAAACAGAUCAUCUGGUCAGCCGUGCCACCACAGCAGCAGCAGGAUGGAGAGAGUACACAGAGACAUGUCAGGUGUUGCGCCAUAGAAUGCACCUCUGCUGUAGAAUGCACCCCCUGACGGGAGCGUGGUUGAAAGUACACAACAAGGCGAAAUAAUCCAAGUUUUCCUUACCAUUGGACUGAUUCUAGAGCCAUUAAUUAUUUCACUCAGGCUAUUCAGAUUAAGGGUGUGGAAAAUAAUCUAAAUUAAUCGAUGCAUCGAUGCGCAUGUGCGCGAUGCGACUGCGUCGGCUCAUUCACUGGGUAUCGAUGCAAUUGACGGGUUAAAUCUAGAUUCAUCUAGAUGCGUUGGUGGGUAUCGGUAAAAUCCGAUGCAAGCGCCGUUUUAUUCAUGUUAAACUUCACCAAUCUGCUGUUCCCCAGGCGCAUUGAAUGCACCAUCAUUAUUUCACGUUUUGUAUUGAAUACGGGCGGAAGCCGUGAGGGACAUACAACGCACUACUAGUAAAACAGCAUGGACCACAUUCAAGUGAGCAGCAGCGAGGAAGAGUUUAUAUGUUGUAUUGGAAAGUUCUAAAAAAUGGUGAAAUGAGACUCCAAAUAACGUUGACCAAAGUUUACUGACCUUUUCAGUUUUUGAAAGAUACAAACAUGGUGAAAAAAGGCAAUACAAAAAAAGGGUCGCUUGGUUUCUCAGCGUGUCAGCUAAUCACAUGUCGCUAGCGGCUUCUCCGAAUAUAUUUUUCUUUCUAUCAACUUCACACAGACUGACUAGAACUUCCUGGUGACUCCUUCAAAAUAAAAGCAGCGUAUAGUCUUUCCAAAAUAAACUCAAAUAGUGCAUAUCAAUGCUGAAACAUGCAGUAAACAAUUAUGUUUCUCAAUAUGUUUUUGACUCUAAACAGUGCAAUCUUCUUUUAACUAUAUAAUACUUAUGUAAAGUACUUCCUUUUAAUAAACAUAAAUCACAACAUGCAACAAAUCACAACAUUCUCCCGCCCCAUGAACAAUGUUCAUGAAUACUAAUCUAUGCCUGAAUCAAGUUAGGUUAUUUCCAAAGGAUAGAUCAGUUGCACAGGUCUUCUCAGUAGUGUCCCUGUAGGGGUACGAACUGUGCAUGAGCGUGGCAGUCCAUCUCGCCCUGGAAACAGCUCUUCAAUCCUGCCUGUUUUCCAGAUUUGUCGAGGCAUUUUGUCCUCUCCAAUCAGCACGACGUCUCCCACUUUGAGCUCAGUGGGUUUGGAUGUGUCACACUUAUGCGCUGAUUUCAGAUCCAGUAGAUAGUCCUUGCGCCAGCGGGUCCAGAAGGUGUUUAGGAGUCUCUGGCGGUACUUCCAUCUGCGCCCCAUGUUCUCUCUGCUUAGAUUGGCUGACUGAAUUUCUGGAAUCAUAGCUUUUGGUGGCAGUGAAGUCAGUCUUUUGCCGACCAGAAAAUGAGCGGGUGUCAGGGGUGUGGGCUCAUCUGCAUCGUUGUGCACAUAUGAGAGUGGCCUAGAAUUCAGCACAGCCUCCGCCUCUGUGAGAGUGGUGGUCAACUCCUCGAAGUUCAGUGAGGCCCUCCCUAGGACUGUUUUUAGGCAUGUCUUCACUGACCUCACAAGUCUUUCCCAGAAGCCGCCCCACCAAGCUGCUCUCUCAGCAAUAAACCUCCACGAGAUGCCCUUUUCGGUGAAGAAUGCAGUGAGCUCCGGUUCCUUGAAUGAUUUCCAUAGCUCCUUCAGAUCUUGGUCUGCUCUCUUAAAGGUCUUGGCAUUGUCAGAAUAAAUGACCUUACAUAGCCCACGUCUCGCAAUGCAUCUCUUCAAGGCUAAGAGAAAGUUCUCUGUGGACAUGUCUGAUACAAGCUCUAAAUGCACUGCUCUAGUGACAGCGCAUGUGAACAGUGCAAUGUAUGCCUUCUUUGUCUGGCUGUUUGACUUGACGUACAGCGGGCCAGCGAAAUCAAUGCCCAUGACUUCAAAGGGUGGGGACUCUGUAAUCCUGUCUCUUGGUAAAGGAGCAGUAACUUGCUGAGCUGGUUUCACCUUUAGUCUCUUACAGAUGUGACAGCGUGCCACAAUCUGCUUAACCAGCUGUCUGCUUCUCAAUAUCCAGUAGCUCUCCCUUAUCUGCACUAGAGUAUCCCUGACCCCAGAAUGCAUCACCUUUUCAUGGUAGUUUUGAACUAAGAGCUCAGUGUAUCUGUGUUUUGGGGGCAGCACCCAUGGGUGCUGUUCUCUGAAACUGAACUCCGACUGUUGCAGCCUUCCUCCCACACUGAUAAGGCUGUUCUCAUCAAGGAAUGGUUUCAAGUCCUUGAUUUUUGAAUCCUUGUCAAGUUCUUGUCCCGAUUUCAGUAGAUUUAAUUCUUGGCUGAAACCUUGCUCUUGUGUCACCUUUAUCCAGUACAUUUCAGCUGCAGUGAGCUCCUCUGCAGUGAGCUCUCCAUGGGUCCUUUGGCUUGAGCGGGCAUUGUUCACAAACCUCUUCACCCACGCAGUUAAUCUGAACACUGUUCUCAGUCUACUGUACUUAUCAAGGUCUAACAAUGGUUCAGCUGGAUCAGUGCUAGUAAAUUGUACUGCUACCAUGAACUUAGUCCUAAGCUCAGCAUUUGCCUCCUCAGCAGUACAGUCCUCCUCAGUCUCAAUUGUGUCUGUUGGUUCAGCUGUCAGUGACGUAGCAGGCCCGUUCCACCACAGCUGACUCUGGAUGAGAUUGUCCACACUCUGGCCUCUGGUGGGUAGAUCAGCAGGGUUCCUUUUGCCACUGAUGUGUGACCAUGAUUCUGGGUUCGUCAAAUUUUGAAUUUCAGUCACUCUGUUUUCCACAAAGGGCUUCCAUUUGUGUGCUGUGCUGCGUAUCCAGUGCAAGGCGAUCAUCGAGUCUGUCCACAUCCUGAGCUGAUUCUUUUCCAUCUUCAGGGACUUAAGCAGAUUGUUUCCCAAUCUGGCUCCGAUCAAGGCUCCCAUCAGCUCUAAGCGUGGUAAAGUUAGUUUCUUUAGAGGGGCAACUCUCGACUUUGAUGCUACAAGGCUUGUCACAAUUUCCCCAUCCUGGUUCUUUCCUUGCAUGUAUGCAACAGCACUGAAUGCCUUUUCACUAGCAUCACAGUAGACAUGUAGUUCCAGUGACUGCAUGUUUGGUUGGAUUUCAAUGUGAUACCACCUGGGAAUCGCCACAAGGUGGAGCUGUGGCAGUUCUGAACACCACCGGUUCCAUUCCUUUGCCAAGUCUGGGGGUAACUGGUCAUCCCAACCAAUUCCCCUCUCCCACAGUCGCUGGAAGAGGUGCUUCACCCUAAUGGUGAACGGAGUGAGGAAGCCAAUAGGGUCAAAAAUACGAGCUGACGUUUGCAGCACGCUUCUCUUUGUGUUUUGCUUGUCCUUCAAAAUGUCUAAAAGUCCAUUUAAGUCAAACACAAAGUGAUCUUCCUCUGGUUUCCACACUAGACCUAGCACUUUCAGUACAUUCCCACAAGUGACAGGUUCUGUAGCUUGUUCGAAUCCAUUCGCUGUCCAUUUUGACUUGAGAUCUGGUGAGUUUGUGGCCCAUUUACACAAGUUCAUUCCAGCAGCAGACAGAAUGUUCUUAGCUCCUGUUGUGACUGAAUAGGCCUCCUCCACUUCACAUGAGCUUGAAAUCAGAUCAUCUACAUAUAAAGAUUCUCUAAGUGCCUUUACUGCCUUUGGUUGGGCUGCAUCAUACUGUUGGAUGUGCUUCCUAAUGGUUGCAGCUAGGAGGAAGGGGCUUGGUGAAACUCCAAAUACCACUCUACUCAUUCUCAUGAUGCGCAGCUCAUUGUCACAGUCCUUAGUGGGGGGUCCAUGCAGCCACAAGAACCUGACUGAAUCCUUGUCUUUGUCUGCUAGAGCUAUCUGCAAGAAAGCCUUGGUGAUGUCUGCAGUGAAAGCUAUCUUGUGCAGUCGGAAUUUGAUAAGCACAUCUAACAGAUCAGGGUUUAGGUUUGGCCCAGUUAACAGACAGUCAUUUAGUGAGGGGCUUCCAGCCUCAUGUGAUGAGGCAUCAAACACGACUCUCAGCUUGGUCGUCGCUUUCUCCUCCCGGAGUACAGCAUGAUGAGGUAGGUAAUAUUUCACAGUUUCUGUUGACUCUGCUGCUGAGUCAUUCUCUGAGACAUCCUCACAAAUUCCCUGCUGUAGGUAAUCCUCCAUCACAUUGUUGUACCUUGUGUACAGAGUGGCAUCAGCAACCAGUUUCCUCUUCAGGCUCUCAAAUCUUUUCCUUGCAACUCUGAAGUUGUCUGGUAGAGGUGGGCUGUCCAGUCGCCAUGGUAAUUCAACUUGGUAGCGACCAUCAUUGAAUGUCACUGUCUGCUCAAAGCUCUGAAGAGCCUCCGUAUCAUCUGGGUUUUCAGCUUUGUCAUUUACAAUGCCCAGUGUUUCUAUUUCCCAAAAGGCAUGCAACUGUUUUGAGAUCUGAGUGUCCUCAUCUAGACUGAUGUGCAUGCAGGUUGUGUCUGUUACACUAGACAUUGGGACUGGCCCUUGUACAGUCCAUCCAAAGGUGCUUUCUAAGCCCACAAGUGACUCUGUUAGCCUUUCCACCUUGCCAGUCAUCACUUUCCAGUAAAAGUCAGCUCCAAUUAAGACCAACAGCUCGGGGUCCUCAGCACCAUCUAACUGGAAAUCUGCCAGCUGCAGACCUCUCCUCUUGAAUUCUCCUCUGAUGUGCUCUCCAGGCACUUUCAUAACAGCAGUGCACACUUGAGGGGUCUCAACUGCUGCAAUUUCAAUUCUUUGCUGUGUAUUCCACACAUUCUCCAGCACUACCUUGACAAUGUUGCGCUUUGUUGCCAUGGGACCAGCAGAUCCAAAGGUGUGGAGGUUCAAUGUCUCUUGCUUUAAUACUGGCAGUUUCAGUGUCUUCACCAGGUUCUCAUGUAUAAAGCUUCUUUGACUGCCUCCAUCUAAUAGGCAACGCACUAUUUUUCUACCUGCUGGGCCCUCUGUCCUGGCCUUAACUGUCUGAAGCAGCACUGUGUUGGGUUCAUUAGAUUUUGGUUUCAUUGUGCUAGACACGGAAGAAACCACAGCAUCUGUACUGUUGCUGUUAGCAGCGCCUGGCUGCACUUCUUGAUCACAGACUGACUGGUGGUGUCUGCGACCACACAAGGCACAUGAGACACCUUUGACUUUACAGUAUUUGGCUAUAUGUUUGGGGCCUAGGCACACAUAGCAUCUUCCCAUUUUUUUCAGUUUUUCCUUUCGAGCAGUCUCUGUGGUGUCUGAGCAGUUUUCUGGCUUAUGACUGGGACUGUCACAAUACACACAGGUCUGAGGGGCAUUACUGGCUGUGUGCAAUGCAGCUGCUGAGGGCACAGUUUUGAAUUUAUUCUCAUUGGAUGGCACUUGUUUUGUGAACGGUCUGUGACUUUGGGAAUGGUCCUUUUGGGAGCUGCCUGACCUGGUCAGUUGUAGUGCUCUCUCUCUACUUUGCACUUCAUUUUGCAGGAAUUUAAUUAGCUCAGGCACCUUCCAUUCACCAUCAGUGUCCAACGUGCGUGUGUAGCCUAAUGCCAAGUCAUCUGGUAUCAACUGCAAUAAUACAGGGCAUAGCAGGGCGCCAUAUGUGUCACUGUGAACACCUAGGGACUCUAGGCUGCGAAUCUGUAUUUCACAUUCAUCAUAGAGAAAUCUCAGUGCUACUAUAUCUGAGGAUCUUUUCACAGGUGUCAGGGUUAGCAGUUUUGACAUGUGUGCACUGACCACAAUGUCCUUUCUUCCAAAUCUGUUCUUGAGCAAGUCAAUUGCAUUGUCGUAAUUACUGUCGGUCAAUGUGAGCCCUGCUACCGCUUUUGCUGCUGCUCCACUUAGGUAGGAUUUCAGAUAAGUGAACUUUUCCUUCUUACACAGCGCAUCAUUGGAGUGGAUAGCAGUGUCAUAUUGACUCCAGUGGCCACUGGCUUAUUUCUCCAUUAAACCUUUCAAUCACUAACCUGGGCAGUUUAACAGUUUGUCUCGCCAAGGAGUUAUCCGGGCCUGCACUUCCCGCACUAGUGCGCCUACUCACGUACUCCUCCCGGGCACCAGGGCUUCUCUGGAUCAGUAUGCUUGCUCGUGUUUUCCAUGAAAUAAUGCGAUCCUGAUAUUCCUGUGAGGACUCUAAUUCAGAGUCUAAUUCCUCCGUCACAGUUUUCUCUUCAAUGCCUCUGUCCAGUUCCGUUAAUUGUCCCUCCUUGAUCGUUAAUAAUGACAGCAUUUCACGCAGCGAGUCAUAGUCCCUUUCGUUUUCCCCUUUGUUUGUUUCCUCUUCCAUACGAGCCAGUAACUUUGAUACUGAAGAACGGACUGCUCUUCUCUUCUUCUUCAUACGUUCCAUGGCGUCGGACAUUUCGUUCGUUACUUCCAAUUCAAAACAUCAAAAAAAGUCUCUGAGAUCCCGGGUUUCGGCACCAAAAUGUAUUGGAAAGUUCUAAAAAAUGGUGAAAUGAGACUCCAAAUAACGUUGACCAAAGUUUACUGACCUUUUCAGUUUUUGAAAGAUACAAACAUGGUGAAAAAAGGCAAUACAAAAAAAGGGUCGCUUGGUUUCUCAGCGUGUCAGCUAAUCACAUGUCACUAGCGGCUUCUCCGAAUAUAUUUUUCUUUCUAUCAACUUCACACAGACUGACUAGAACUUCCUGGUGACUCCUUCAAAAUAAAAGCAGCGUAUAGUCUUUCCAAAAUAAACUCAAAUAGUGCAUAUCAAUGCUGAAACAUGCAGUAAACAAUUAUGUUUCUCAAUAUGUUUUUGACUCUAAACAGUGCAAUCUUCUUUUAACUAUAUAAUACUUAUGUAAAGUACUUCCUUUUAAUAAACAUAAAUCACAACAUGCAACAAAUCACAACAUAUGUAAUGCACUCGCUACGUUUAAAUCACAUGUUUGGAAACACUACGGAUUUGCAAAGAAAGACGGAAAGCUCGACAAAACGUCCGUCAUUUGCAAAGAAUGCCGCGUUAAGAAGCCGUACAACGGCAGCACGACAUGCAGACCCACUUAAAAAGAGUACACCACAUCACCGACAAGUCUAACGCCACCUCCCCUCCCUUAACAUUGAUUGCACUGUUGAAAGUGUCACUUUAGGUUACUCAUUGAGAGUGUUUUGUUGUUGCUGACUGUACUUUUUACAGCAGUAAUUAUUGUGUAAUUGUUUUACUCUUUUAUUAUUGCAGAACUCACUCAAAUCACUGAUUUUCAGUGGCCAGUUAGAAAGUCAACUCUAGCACAUCGGUUUGGCAGACAGUAGUAUGGCCAUUGAAUGGUCUAUUUGCACCAUGUUAGGCAGUGCAUUAGUUGUUUAAUAAUGUGUACUGUAAUAUUACCCAACAAGUAUAGAGCACUUGUGUGAUGUAGGGUUGGGAUUGGAAUCCUUUUUUUAUUUUUUAUUUUUUUAUUUUAUUGAUUCAGAUUCCUUAACAGUUGCAUGAGGUCUGUCUAAUCUGUGUAACUGUACAAAAUGGAACCCAAAGGAGCAUAGAAAAAAGACAAAAAGCACUUUUGUUGAAUUAACCGCUAAGUGCCUUUAAGGAAUAAAGCCAAAUCAUUUUUGUAGUACCAUACUGAAUUCCAUCUUUUAUUUUUAUUUCUUUUUUUUCUUUGCUUAUUUGCAUCAUGUUGAAUUGCAUCAUAUCGCAACAAAUUGCAUCAUGUCGUAUCGGAUCGCAUUGAUUUGAACUAAAUGAUUAUCGUAUCGUAUCGCAUCGUGAAGAGGGUGAAUCGUAUCGCAUCGUAUCGCCAGAAAAUUCCAUGUAUCGUUAAAGUAUCGUAUUGCUGGCAGUGCAUCGAGAUGCGUAUCGAAUAUGAGAUUCACACCCCUAAUUCAGAUAUGCCGAAAACAAUAGCCCUCUGAUACGGAAUAUUUGCUGCCCCGAAAAUAUAAUGUUCUCUACCUUAACAGUUUAAUGUACAGUUUAUAUACCCAAGUACACCUCUGUAUGUGCAUUUUUUAAACACCUAAAAACAGAACGAAAGUUUGCUGCUCCAUUUGACAUGUUGUCAUGAUCCAAUACGUGUUUUUUUUUUUUUUAUGUUUUUUUUUUUUUUUAAUGUAAGAUCAUUUUCUUCCAGUUUAAGAAGCUAAUGAGUGGAUGGGAUGCAGGGGAUGCAUUCUAUGGCAGGUGCAUUCUACGACACAACACCUAUCGAGCUGCGCGAGGAAGAAGAAGGAUAAGCGGGGAGACGAAUUAAAUAUCUUGUUAACCUUAUCAUGUGUGACUGUUUACUGGAUAUUUAAUUUAAUGCUGUUUUAGCUGUGUUAAUUCGGUCAGGUGGCGUGUCCAAACACAUGCCAAACGCGCUCAUCAGAUCAGAUAUAGAUCAGAAUAUAUUGAUAUAGAUCUAAAUGUUUGUGCUGACUCAGAUUAUUAGUUGUUGAGGAUUAAUUAUUGCACUGAAAUGUGCCUGACUCUGUGGAAACCUGCCGGUGAGGCAUCAGUGACAUAUGCGUACUACAUGCCGCUGGUCUACCAAAAUACCACUAGACCAGCUGCGCUCUGCCUGCGCUGAAAGCUGACCAGGUUUGAAUCGGCAAGCUUUCAGCGUACUUGUCACACCCCUGGCGAGCACGAAAAUGUCACUGCACCAGUUGAUUCUUGGUAGGGGAACCCCUCCCCCUACCUUGCAUUCACGUCCAGCUUGGCGGACCUCUGCAUGCCUCAGUCUACGAAAAUAACAAACUGGCUGUGUGCUGGGCACCGCCAGACAAAAAUACCACUGCGCGUCGACCAUGGCUACGAUAUAUAGCCCAUUGUCUUUAUUUGGACACAAAAAUUAGUUCAUAAACUGAGCUGAAUAAUUUUGGAAAAUAAUCUAAUUGGGAUUUUUUUUUCCUUAAUAUUGCGAUUUAAUAUGCAAUUAUCUUUUCAAGGUCCUCUUUUAAUGUUUUUUUCAACCAACACAAACAAUAAAUCAAUCUGUAUUUUAUUUGCUUGAAGACUUAAAAACAGGCAAAUGGACUGUGUAGUUGAGAAGACAUCUUCUCAACUCUAAACAGUCCAGUUGCCUGUUUUUAAGUCUUCAAGAAAACCAUGACCUGGAUGAAUGAGAAUCUACAUGGACAAAUCUGUAUUAUAGUAAAUAAUAUCUGAUUUAUUAUACAUGAAUUGUUCUUUCUGGCAAUUACUAUUUAGCACACACACACUCAGGCUCUCUCUGCUCACACACUGUCGCGCACACACAUGCACGUGCCCUCAUAUACAUCAUGAUACUAAUCUACACACCAAUGGCGAGAUGUAAUCGGUGGUCGAAACACUGGAGUCUGGUCUUUUCAUUCAGCUGUGCUGCCAUCACUGUAUUGGAUGUGUUUUCCAUCGUUAUGCAGAUGUGGUUUGAAGUCGAAGCACUGGUUGCUGGUGUUUUAGCUAUUUAACUCUCUUACAUGGCUUUGUUGGCACGGCAGGUUCUGCACACAUUGCGCAGCAGCAUCUUUUUUUGCCAAAGUAAAUCCACACAACUGCCGCGCUGCUCCUCUUUGGAACUAAACUUUCUGCAGUGUCAGCUUCUGAAGCAGAAUUAGCCCAUAGUGCCACAGAGUCCAGAGCUGACUUCUCUGUCUACCUGCUCUGCUUCGCUGCACUUGCAAGUCGCGUGACCAGUCCAAGUCACAGCCUUUUUGGUUAAAAAAUCGUGUAUUAUCAUAUCGCGAUGUAAUCGCAAAUGCAAUUAAUCAUUCUGCGAUCAUGUUCUUUCAGUCACUACCCACAGCUCAUGACCAUAGGUGAGGGUAGGAAUGUAGAUCGACCGGUAUAUGGAGAGCUUUGCCUUCUGACUCAACUCCUUCUUCACCAUGAAAGACUUGUGCAGCAUCUGCAUCACUGCUAAUACUGCACCAAUUCGCCUGUCAAUCUCCCGCUCUAUUCUUCCCUCACUUGUAAAUAAGACCCUAAGAUACUUGAACUCCUCAACUUGAAGCAGGAUCUCAUCUAUCUUGGAGAAGGCGCUCCCCCUUUUUUCAAGCUGAGAACUAUGGACUCAGAUUUGGAAGUGCUGAUUGUCAUCCUAACCACUUUACACUUGGUUGUAAACUGAUCCACUGAGAGCUGAAGGUCAUGGCCAACGAAGCAAAGAGGACCACAUCAUCUGCAAAAAGUAGUGACCCAAUCCUGAAACUGCCAAACCGGACCUCCUCAAUGCCCUGGCUGCGCCUAGAUAUGGAUGGAUGGUCGGCUCGCCAUCAUCCCACUGACGGUUUUAACAUUACAUAACAUGUGGAAGAGCAGGGAGGUCUCCGAACAGAGCCAUACCACCAAAUAUAAUGAAUGCAUGCAAGUAAUCCUUUUUUUAUGAAAGUGGUCCUGACUGAAAUAAACUGUCCUCAACAAAACAUCUGGUAAACAAAUUACUCAGCUUGAAAACAGAUUCUGGAGAGAGUGCAUCAACGGAAAUCCUUGUUUCUUUGUGAAUUAUCAGGUCAUUGUAACAUUUUGUGGCAGUUUGGUUUCUCUGCAAUGUUUCACCAAAUUACUUUCACCAAUCGUUUUUGCUCCAGAACGAGUAGGCUGAAGUAAAAUUACAUUUUAAAAUGUCUUUGGCUCAGUUAAUGUUUCACUGCAUCUCCUGCGAUGUUUAGUUUUCAGUCAUGUUCAUGGCAGAAUCAGUAAAUUACUCAGUGUGCUACUCUUGCUGAUAUCUUUGUAUCAAGUUGAAAUAGUUAAAGCGAGUGAGGCAAUUUGAAAAUCCAUGUGAAAAAAAUCAGAAAUUGAAAAUCAGCCUUAACACAGUGACUCGUAUCACCGUGAGGUCCUUAUAAAAGGUGUAGACAGCUCUCCAGUCACCAAGAACAGAAAUUCACUCCUUCAGGCUCUGACUCUUCACAGAUGGGGGUCCACGGAGCCCACUGUGAGCCCACUGAGAGCCUGUUUGAAGCUCCAUGACAUCCUCCAGAUCCUGCCGGCGAACAUCUGUACCAGCUAACGUUUCAUCUGCUCUCAGCUAAAUGACAGACAAAUGUUGGUUCAGUCAGCUGGUCUGUGGAAGAAAGAGCUGAUGAGGAUGGAUAAGGUCCUGAUGUUGUAAGGAGAGAACAUGAAAAAAAGAAAGGAAAAAAAUGACUUCUCAUCUCUCUCUGGCUCUUUAUCUCUCCGUCUCUCCCUCUCUCCCACCUCCAGUCCGUCGCUCUCUCUGUGAUCAUUAGCAGGUUUUAAUUAAAGACUAGAGGAUUAUUCUAGUGGCCUGCAGUCUUUCACCUCCUCUCAUCAUCAUUCCCACUCCCUCACUCCCUUUUUCCCCUUGCUCUGUGAGUCUUCAGGUUGUGGGUGUGUGUUACUGAGAGACUGUGUGAGUGUGCAUGUCAGGGAGCAGCGUUUGUUGAAGAGUGGUGAUCAAAGCCUUCCACCUCCAGUGCCACGGAUCUCUUCCUUUCUCUCUGUCGGCAGCAGAUGUCUUAAGUCUCUUCUCGCUGAGGAGUUCUGUGAAUCAGUAUCAAUAUUUAACACAAGAGAGGGUUUGUUCAAAUGCUCAUUUCCCAGCUCCAACUUACCAAAGAGACUUUAUUCAAACAAACUCUAAGUGCUCUCUGAUUUAUUAUUCUCUGUAUUUUUGCUGCUUUGUAACAUACAGUGUCUUGCAUAAGUAUCCAUCUCCCCCCAAUUUUUAUAUCAGUGUAACUUUUUUUUUCUUUGUACAGAAAACUUGAGGAGUGUUGAGAUCCUAUCUGAAAACACCCUGUUGGAGCCUGCAGGUGGAUGAUGAUUGGGGAUUCUGCCUGAAGUAGCUCUCAGGUAUUGCUCCAUAACACGUUCAUUUUGGAGUCAAGGAUCCAUAGCGCCUAUCCUCUCUGUCAGUCUGGGACACCUAUAGAGCAUCUUUGUAUGUUUUGCAGCUCUAAAUACUUCCUGUAUAUCUCAGAGGUCACUGUGUAGAAUGAGGGUAUUUAGCAACAUCUCAACCUCUCCCGUCACCAAAGCAACAGCGGCCGUUGUACCCCAAGAGCAAUUUUCACAAUAAAGAUGGCUUCAUCCACAACAGACACAAGGAACUCAACUGUUCAAGGGAUGAGGUGGGAAUGUUCAUUCAGUGUAUUUACAUUAGUUUAGUUUCAAUUUGAACUCAUUUAAACCAUACACUGUAUAUACUACAGACAAAUUGGUUCCGCCUUCUGUCAUUAUACGAAUUUGAAAAGCUCUCUUUAUUUCCAGGAUUUUCUCCACCUCCUGGAACCACCACUUGCAUUCUGUAUACAGUCUAUGAUUAUUAAUUAUUAAUUAAUUGAUGAUGAAUGUUUAUUUUUUUUUUUUUACUCCAUCCAUUCCUAACAAAAUUAACAAGUGGAAAGUGUCGUCACUCACAAGCUCACACUCCCUCUGCAUUCAAAGCCUUCUGAUUGAACCUAAACUGGUGUAUCCUUAGCAGAAGUCUUGAAUUAAUUGACAUGAUGUAGUUCAUAAAUGUCUGAAUGGCUAAAGCAGCUGUACAGGAGGGUUUGAAUAAUUGCGUUGAAGGUGUAUAAAAGCUUCACACAGAGACUGCCAGUGGUGCGACUGAUCCCAACAGCACACACACUGCAGGGAGUGGACACACAGUCCUGUUCAAACACAUCACAGCUUCUUAUGUUUAGUGACAGACGUUGACUUAACUGCACCCUCAGACUUUCCAGAUCAAAUUCAGACUUGAUUUUUAAUUUUAUAGAAUUUUAUUACCCUGUUGAACAUAAUGAUGACUUAGUUUGUGUGUCUCCGAGACUAACAAAUACACAAAUAGUGAGGAAGAAAGAGAGACAUCCACCAGUACAUCUCUGCUGGUAAUGCACUGAGUUAAGUGUGAUGUCUCAUGAGUAACACAGACCUACUUAUAACAUGUUUUUGAUGCAAAUGCACUCUCUUAGUUUAAAACUGAUUCAGUGAGUGAACAGUCACUGCAUUGUGAGCACAUUAUAGCCAUUUGUGAGCUAAGCAUGAGACUAAGUGAAAGAAUUGCUUCUUCAAUUAAUAUGUCAGUGUUACAGCAGAGCAGACAGAGUUUUCUUAGUGGGAUUGUCUCCAUUAUUUAAGUUUUUUAGCAAAAUGGACGAGCACAACAUUGCAGUAAAGUGUCUGGAGGGCAAAAGCUUGUGCUGAGGCUAUCUUCAGGUGAGUGUAAUGCUGUUUCUUUGAAGGAAGUCAUUAUGUAGUGGAAAGAGGCCUAGAAUGUAAACAAUGGAGUCUCCAUCCUUCACACCAUUUUGACAAUACACCAGACAUACAUGUGUAACAAGUCAGGGGUUUAAAUGUUUUUUGUUGUCUAAAACAUGAUGAUACAUCUAAAGGGGGUAAUCCUGAAAUGGUAAAUUUCUGUGACAACUGCAGGAUUUUAUCUUAAAUUUUUGUCAGUAUACUAUUAUUGGACUACUCAUACAAGCAACUUCACCCAAGUCUGAUCAUGUGUCCUCAGGAGUGCUUCACAUUGGAGUUCAUAUGUCAGCAAAAACAUACAAGAGGAGCUGACAAAACGAGCAAGAGGACAUGUUCACCUUCCUCUUGGUAUUCUCAACAUUAACUGAAGGUAAUAGGAAUGGAGACAAGAGCUGGGCACACUUCUGUUGAUCUGUUCAUGGUUAGUUACCACCACUCCUUCAUCCACCUAUCCAUCCAUCCAUCCAUCCAUCCACCUGUCCAUGAACACCUCAUCAACGAGGCAUCAGGGAGGCAUCCUGAUUAGAUGCCCAAGCCACCUCAACCAACUCCUCUUAAGGUGGAAGAGCAGCAGCUCUACUCUGAGCCCCUCCUGUAUGACCAAGCUUCUCACCAUCUAUCUCUAAGGGAGAGCCCAGCCUCCCUGAGGAGGGUAGUUAUUUCACCCUCUUGUACUCACAAUCUUAUUUUUUCAGUCACUACCCACAACCAUAGGUGACCAUAGGUGAGGGUAGGAAUGUAGAUUGACCGAUAUAUUGUUAGCUUUGCCUUUCAGCUCAGCUCCCUCUUCACCACAAUAGACCUAUGCAGUGCCCGCAUCACUGCUGCAUCACCAAUUUGCCUGUCAAUCUCUCACUCCAUUCUUCCCUCACUCAUGAACAAGACCACUUGAACUCUUCAACCUAGUGCAGGAUCUCAUCCCUGACCCAGAGAGGGCACUCCUCCUUUUUCCAGCUGAGAACCAUGGACUCAGAUGUGGAGGUGCUGAUUCUUAUCCCCAGGCAUGAAAAUGGGUCAGGGGUUAAAAAGGUGAGAAGGGUGCGAAGGAAAUACGUUCCGGUACACUGUACAACCCAACAAAAUAUUGAGCUCUGUCCACCCGCACUGUGUUUCAGUGAUCUGCAGGAGGCGCCAAAAACACUCCAAGUCUCACACACACACACACACACACACACACACACACACACACACACACACACACACACACACACACACACACACACACACACACACACACACACACACGCGCAUGUUGUGCUGGCCAUGCUUUAUUUAGAAACAAAGUUUACUUUCACAGAAGCUAAAUGAGUUAGAUGAGUCAGAGAGAGGUGUUCAAAACUUUUUGUACAAGGCCAUAUGAAAAAAAGAGAAAAAAAAAAACAGAAUAAAAAAAAUAAAGACUUUACAUCCUGCACUUUAGAUCAAUGUAUGCCCUUGCAGACUGGAGAACAAUACAUGCAAUUCAAAUACCAAGUCCAAUUGAUCACUUUUUCUUUUUUCUUUUUGCCUGGGCCACCAGAGUCUCCAUGGUCUUUUACGCUGAGUGGCCACAUGCCUCAGCCUUGCCUGCUUCUCACUUUCAGCAGCCUGCUUCUUUGCCUGCUGAGCACUCCCAGUUUCUUGACAGCCAUAUAAAAAUAAUAGCAACAUAGCGAUUUACACAACAGCUUUAGUAGCUUUUGGUCUAAACAAACGGCAAGCCUUUCGUGACACACUCUUCCCUGUUGUCUUCUCUCACGCUAAUGUCGCGCUGAAAAAAAUUGACGCCCCGUCUUGUCAAUGGAUGGAGCCAGAGCAGUAAACGCGAGACGCCCGCUUUCGCUAUUUUAGAUGGCUCAAAACCAUUACGUUUUAAUGAAUUAAUAAAUAACAUCAGCAGCGAAAAGGAGUGUAAAAAAGACCAGGGUUCUUUUAUUUUUGUUUUUAUCACAAAAGGCUUCAAGCAUGGGCCAAAGCAUAGGACAACAAGUUCUAGAAUUUACCACUUCACCUUCAGCCUUUUCAGCCCCUCACCUGAAUAUUAUCCUCACACGUCCCCGAAAUACCAAUUACAGAGAUAUUAGAAAGAAGCUUGUGUUUCUUCUUUUAUGUUAACUACACAAGCUUGAUGCUUACUUAAUAUCUAGCAAACAGAAGUUAUUUUUUCACCUGAGAUUUGGCUAGCUCUGGCAGUGUUCAACGCAAGCUGUAGUGAACGGCAGAAUGCACCCCUGCAUCCCAUCCACUCAUUAGCUUCUUAAAGUGGAAGAAAAUGAGCUCAUAUUUUAAAAACACACGAGUAUUUGGAUCAUGACUACUAGCAAACUUUCGUUCUGUUUUAAUGUGUCUCAAAAAUGCACAUAUCGAGGUGUACUUGGUUAUAUAAACUGUACAGUAAGAUGUCAAGGUAGAGAACAUUAUACUUUCGGGACAGCAAAUAUUCUGAAUCAGAGGGCUAUUGUUUUCGGCUUAUCUGAAUAACCUGAAUGAAAUCAUUAAACGCUUUUGAAUCCAUCCAACGGUAAGGAAAACUUGGAUUAUUUCGCCUUGUUGUGUACUUUCAACCGCGCUCUCGUCAGGGGGGGCAUUCUACGGCACAACACUGGCGUUCUCGCAGCUUUGCAAUGCUACCACAGGCUCUCCAAGCACUCCAAGUACACGUGAAGAGUGUGCACAUGAUUGUAAUAAUGGAACGCAGUUUGGCCUAUGAUUGGUUCUCGUCAACGAAGCAGCCAUCUGACCGUCCAAGUGUCAUUUAAAGGGCCGAUUUCUUAAGUGCUCCGUUUGCGUAUUAAGUCAAUCACAUGAUAAUUUAAAAAAAAAAAUCUCCCAACUCCAACCCCCUCAAAAAAAAAUUUCUCCUCGGAACUACACGAUUCAUGUAGGUCACCCUUUUUGACUUCAGAACGGCAAAUUUCGCCAAAAGGUGAGAGAUUUUCAUGCCUGCAUCCCAGCCGCUUCACACUCAGUUGUAAACUGAUCCAAUGAAAGCUGAAGGUCACAUCCUGAUGAAGCCAACAGAACCACAUCAUCUGUAAAAAGCAGUGAUCCAAUCCUGGAACAACUAAACUGGACCCCCUCAAUGCCCUGGCUGUACCUAAAAAUUGGGUCUAUGAAUGAAUCAGUUAAUUACUUGUUAUUGAAGCCAGCAUUGUUAACACACUGACAAUUAACAGUUUUUUUUUAAGGAACUGUGCCGAUCCCGGGCUAAUCCCCACCUGCACACUUUGAACAAUGUCUUUGAGAUCAGUGUUAUCAUUUCUCAUUUUUUGUUCUAUUUCUGACUGAAAGGAUAAUACGGACAUGGGUUUUGUGUCUGUGUUGGUAUGCACACAGGAGUUUCAUGUCUUCACACAUGGUUGAGCCAGACCCUCACACACCUCCAUGGCCAGGAGGUGUUUGUUUCUUUUUAAAUGGGCGACGCGCCAUAUGUGUGGUCAUUAGUCUAAAGAGCGUCCUUCAGCCGCACCAGAGGACAACGUGUCAAUGAGUAGAUUAACUAGCCACUGCUGUUCUCCGCUUUACUAAAAGACCUUGAAUUAUAACAACUUUCACUUUGUUUCUCUCCCAUCAAUUUUACGGGAAAUAUCGCACUGAUCACAAAAGCCAUGACGGAUGUGUGGCUUAAGGGGAAAACACCGCGGCAUUUGUUUUGAACAUGCACAAAAGGAAAAUAACAGACGGUCAUGUGGUGACGUGUCGUCACUAUGAAGAGAGGAAAUAAUUGGAAAUGGAGUUUGUAAAGCGCACAAUCAGUUUGUGUGUUUGCCUCAACUCAGGUUGAGUCUUAACACAGACUCCAGAACUGCUCUUUGCUCCAAUGAAGGUUUUUAACCUCUAUUAGUCUGAGGCUUAGCUGACACUGGGUCCUACUCUUGAUACUGUAAAUUGCCAAUUUGAAACCCUAUGUUUGCCUGAGACCCCUUUGUGUCCAUUAAAGGUGAGUCACUGGUUCAAUGCUUCAUCUUUGACACACACGGAUUCAGAGCCCUGCAAACACACAGAGGAGGCCAGUCAUACUUUUUAUACAAUGAAUAAAGCUACAAACAACAAAUGCUCAUACAAGGAACAAAGACAGGAGCUCAUGUUGUGUCAGGUGUUUAAAGGUGGAUAUACAAGAUCAUACAUUAAUAUCAUCUUUCUUUAUUCUGCCUUUUUGGCUUUCAGCCAUCAGCGAGGUCUGCUGUCUGCCGUCUCUUCAUUUUGUGUAGAUUUCAACACCAAUCUGCUGAAUUUCCCUCUACAGUUGUUCUUGGAAAGAAAAUCUAAAUCUAAGUUUUCAAGGGCUUUUGAUUUUUUUUAUUGAAAUCCAAAAUCUGUCUUAAUAUCAGCCUCAGCCUUUAAUGUUUUGGAGUUAUUUUAUAAUGUCUGGGACUCUCUGUGAUAAAAUAACUUUUUUUUUUAUUUUCAUUCAACAUAAACUGUUUUAUGUUAUACAAUCUUUAGUAGUUAAAGGCUAAAAAUUAGUAGUGAAAGGCUCUAUCAAUAGAUUUUACUUAGAAAGUCAUACACCACUAUUACCGCUGAGAAUAAACCAAAGUAAUGCUACAAUGAGUGCCCUAAAGAUGGGCCUCUCUGUCUCUGUGAUAUUUGUGGUUUUACAACUGUGACUUUUUUCAAACUGCAGCAUACCAUGAAACCUAUAAGGCCGAUGCCUGAGUGUGGUGUUGAGUAUUUUACUGAUGUGCAUUUUUUCCAAAAUGUUGAUGAUAAGGCUCUUGUCUCAUCACUGUUAGUUAGCCCACUACUCAUUUUGCUAACUGGCCAGCAUAAGUCUGCAUCUUGGAGUCAGCUUUCCAAAGUUUGACCAGUGGGGGGUGGGGGGGUGGGGGGGGGGGGGGGGGGGGGGGGCAUUUGCUGCAGAAGGUAGAGGAGGCUGUGAUGUACCAAUGUCAGGGCAGAGCUGUGAUAGUGUGCUUUGGCCCACUUUAAAAUACUGCUGUGUGAACACAAAAAAAGUCCAAAAGGAAAAAUAUAACAGUGGAUCAUUUUAUCAUCUGAAGAGCAAAGCAAACAAGCUUCAUAUAUGAAAUCACACAUCUGAAAAUCAUCCAGUGUUUGCACAAGUGUAAAACUGAUUUUUUUUUUUUCCUCCAAGAGCACACUUACACUCAAACUGUCUUACGUAAACACCCAAUAACAGAAAAUACACACUUGUUUAUCAACCCACACUUCUGCUCUGUCUCUCUCUCACACACACACACACACACACACACACACACACACACACACACACACAGGAUGUGGUGUCUAGCAGACACUGGGCCUUACCUGGGCCCUGCUCGCCCUGGGCCUGUCACUGCGUAUGGACCCGGCCAUUUAUCAUGUAAUCUGGAGUGGAGAAUGGACGGGGCACUAUCAGCAAUCUGCUAUUGAUCUACGCCUGGGGCCCCAGCUAUUGUUCAUCUGUAGCCCUGGACUGGCACCCAGCAUUAAUGAAAGAAACUAAACAAUGCAUAGCAAUCAGACACCCCCCAAAUCACCCAUCCUCCUCCCUCCCUCCCUCUCUCCGUCAUGAGGAAAAGGACAGGAGCGGGUGGAGGGUUAAAGAAGGGAAACAGCCGCAAAAGAGAGAGAAAAGUUUUUCCCUCUACAGAAGCAAACUUUUGUUAUUAUGUUUCUCUUUGAGAAGGUGUGAGCAGGGAGAGAAAAACACAUUUAUCAUGUCAGAGAUGGCUCAUAUCAGCCCUGACCCUCAGCACCAGAUGAAGCAGUUGAUAUUGAAGUCUCCUAUUGAAUAAUGCUCAACGCCAUCCUCUGACUAGGAAAUAGAGACAUAUGGUAAAUCAGUACGAAUGAGAGAGCCAGUGAACAUGGAAACAUGACUUUUUUGCAUGUUUUCUGUGUGAAUAUUGACAGAGGGAACAGAUGAAUGGGAUCAUUUAGCUUGAGCUGCAGAGUUUGAAUAAAUGGAUUUUGCCAAUUCUAUCCAAACCGUAAUUACUACUUUAUUUCUAGAGGACUCUUGUAGCCCCGCAGACAAAUAUGAUUUCUCUGCUGUCUGGAAAAAAGCCUUACUGUCCAUCUGCAGCUCUUUAAAUCUCCAAACUGUCAUUGAAGAGUUAAUGCUUGUGCCCCUUUAAGACUUACAAAUUAUUCGUAUGUAUCCUUAUUUUUAACAACAUCAGUGUGUUUAUCGGAAUUCCUUUGGACAAACUCAGUUGAAAACACAUGCAGAGACUCAGCACGUCAGGCAUCCUUUCUAAGCAAAAAAAAAGUUGCACUUGCUGUGGACCAAUCAGAGUCCAGUGAGUGUGAAUCUGGGCCAUUUACCAGAGCUCUUGUUUCCAGGUAGAGGAAGAAACACUGAUUUAUCUCUGCAUGCUCCUUUUGUCAAGUUGUAAGAGAAAGUAUGUCAGAUACAGCAGCUCAGAACCCUCAGGAUUUAGAGAUUCAUCUGUCCCUCCCAUCAUGAAGAGCAACAUAUGGCCUGAAUAUACUAAAAAACAGAAAUAGAUCAUUAAAAGCAUGUCUGAAGACAGUUCAAAGAGGCCUUUACUACAUAUUUCUCAAUCAGCCACAUGUUUUAAUGCUCUUCUCUCUCACGGUUUAGGCUGCUUUUCAUCAUAACUUUCUGUUUCCUUUUUUCUCAUAAACAUUUCAAAGUCAGCAGACAUCAUUAAGCAAAAUUUAACCACAUUUAGAUCAAAAUCAGACAACCAAUUGUGCCUUUGCUACACAGUACAGCUGGUUUAAAGUUUACAUUUUCUUUGACGCUUGUUUUUUUUUAUUUAUUCAUGUAAUUAUUUGUCUAUUUUUGCUUCCUAAAAUGUUUGAGUUAGAACAACUGCACUGCCAGAAGAGAAUUAAGUAAGACAACAUUUGCCACAUUAAAGAUCUCAGUUUCAAUCUAGCAACAGUAAAUAGCAGUUUAAUUAUACUAAAGGUACGUCACAUGUUGUAAAUGCAGUUCGCCCUUUUUGCCAACAUGUUUCUAAGUUGAUGCACCACGAUGAUCAUUGUCAUAAUUGUCACGUGGCAGAGUUGAACAAAAGAGAGACAAAAAAAAAAAGGAUUUAGUAAAAGGAACAAAAUAAAAAGCAACAGAGACUUACUUAAAAAAAAAAAAAACACCAGGAGAUGAAGGAUCCAUGUCUAAAAGAUCACAGGGAACAGGCAGACAUGCACACACAUCAAAAUACAAUAAACCAACAAGGACAGAGGGGAAGACAGGGGCUGUGUCUCAUUUCAGAGACCGCACCCUCAAACGGCGCCUUUGAAGUGUGCGUGAUGUCAUCACGUGGCGCGAACGGUGUCCCAUUUGGCUCAAAAUGCUGAGCACGCUUCAAAUUCAGUCUCAAAACCACACUACCUCCGCCCCUUUUUCAUGGCCUUGGUAUCCCAGAAUUCUUUGCGUGUCGCUGUACAGCUGCGCAUUUCAAGUGAGAGGCCACACUCGCUUGGACUUAAGUGGACUUUAGCGCGCUCAGCCUGAUGCGGUCUCUGAAAUGAGACACAGCCAGGGGCUGUGUCCGAAAUGGCCUACUACUCCUACUACUCCUACUAACCCCGCCUCUGAAUUGAGUAGGCAGUGCGUUCACACUGUACAGUAUGCGAAUUUUGUGUAUGCGAGAAAUGCCCGGAUGUAUACUCAAUCGGCUUCGAUUUCUGAGUGUGCAACGGAGCUUGCUUCACGUACUGCUUCUGCCCCACAAUGCAUUGCGCACCUCAGCUGGUAAUAUGGCCCUCCUUCCCGAGGCUGAAAAGAAAUAGAUGGCAUGUGAUUGCAAUAAUAAUGAUAUAUAUAUAAAUAGAUAAACAAUAUUUAGUCCGUAUACAUUACACAAUUUUCAUCAUUUUAUCAUAUUUUGAUCUUUUUACCGGAUUUAUUUGUAUUUUAAAUUAGGAUUAUAGGCAAUGUUUUUAACUAUUCGUAUGAAUUGACUUUAUUUAUUUAAGUGUCUAUUAAAGAUGUAUUUAUUACAUCAAGUUUGAGCAUCUUCUCAUCUCUGAAUGCAUCAUCAAAGUGGUCGCUCAUAUUAAGCACAGACCUCUGAUUAAUAAAAAUUAUCUUUGGUAGAGAGCACAUGGUUCAGAAUAUACAAACGGGGGAGUUUCCAGUUGACAAUCUCUGUGAGCUUUACUAAUUCUUACUUGUGGUUGAAAAUCUGAUGGUUUCUGAAAUUAUCAUUGUACAUGAAAAGAAUGUAGUCGGGAAAUGAUGUAUUUGCCAAGGAAUAACCGAACAAGGUCAUAAUAAUUAUGUUGUGUGUUGGUCAUUUUGCAGCCCUCUGCUGCUCAUCACACGGCCAGCAGGUGGUGUAUAGCAUUAUCACCAUGGAUACACGGAUGUUUGGGUAAUUUUUUCAUCCACUGCCGCCCGGUUUGUGUCGUGUAGAUGUUGAUUAUGAAAACACUUCGCAAUAAUUUGGAAACGUGAAGGGGGGGCUGCUGACGCAAACACCGACCAAGUGGACGCUUCGGUCUCCGAAAACGCCGAGACAAAUUUACAAACAGCCACUAUUUCAAACAACUGGGCUCAUAAUCGUGAUGUAAACACUUACUUUCUCGCUAGAAAAAAAUAUUAUUAUUGAAUUAAUUUAUAUAAUUUGUCCGGGAUGCAGUCGUUCUGUGUAGCUUGUGGUAGGACUAUUUAAAUUUUCCCGGCGCUGCGUCCGGCCGGCACGAAAUGCAUUCUGGGGUAUUUAGUAUGUAUGUGUGUAAACGCUCGGGCAGCCGCGGCAUACUCAAAUCCUCUUUGAGUAGUCAGUAGGCAGUAGCUACUGCUUGAGUAGGUAAGUAGAUAGUAGGCAGUAUGCCAUUUCGGACACAGCCAGGGACUACAUACACACUGGGAAAUGAGCAACAGGUGAGGCAGACGAGGCACAGGUGAAACUCAUGGGUGAUUAACGAAGGAGGGAAAACUAGGGAAGUAAAACCAGACUAGAAACACAAGAAAUUAACUACUUCAAAAUAAAACAGGAAACACUGAGAACUGAUAUAAAGAAUAAAACACAGAGAACAGAAGGGAAACGGUGAAAUACACACUGAAAACUUACAAGACAAGACUACAGAAACAAUAGGGAACAAAAACACUAGGGAAAAAACACACAAAAAAUACACUCACAUAGCAAAACCAGGGAAAAACUAAAUUAACAGAACAUAUCAUGAAUAUUAAUGACUGUUUCCAGUACUUCUGUGACUAUCUCAUAAUCCACAGAGUGCCUGCUCAGCUGUCCAUGAGGUCCAGCACAUACAGCCGGAUUUAAUGUCCAAUCAUUCAAAACCAUGAGAUCAUGAUAAUAUUUAGAUGAAAAACCAAAGGACUGACUUUUGUCAGAAAGAACAAAUCUGGUCUAAAGUCAAGUCUGGUCUCUCUCUCUCUCUCUCUCUCUCUCUCUCUCUCUCUCUCUCUCUCUCUCUCUCUCUCUCUCUCAUUUACAGCAGUGUGAUUGCCCAUAGCACCACCAUCUGCCAGCUCACGCAAGGUGAAAAACUAAGUACUCUAGUGGGAUGAAUGAGUGAUAGGAGCAAGACUGCCAUGAGUGUGUACGCUUUCAUGCUAUUCCCAUUUACCCACACACACCCAUCUGAUCAUCAACCCUGGUGUAAACAGCUCACUCUUUUCAAAGCUGCUGUGGCUGUCUCCUGGCAGAAACCAGAUAUGAAGCUGAAGUUUAUCCAAAGAGACUGACUGUCAAGAUUAAGAAUGUUUGAUCUCUGCAGAUUAAGACCUGAGCGGAUCUUGUAUUAUAUGUGGGUUCAACGUACAAUUUUUCGUGUCUCAAUAAACACUGCAUCAGUCAUCUAAUUUUUGAUUUGUUAAGUUGUGUCAGUCAUUUUGGGGAUUUUUUUUUGCUGUUAAUCAUAUUUGAAUGGUUAUAAAUAUAGGUCUGCAUUGGCCAAACUGAAUUUGUCUUGCAAAUUGAGGACAUGUCCUUCAGUGCUUUGGUACCUUCACUACAGGCCAAAAGUUUGGAAGCAAGGCCAUUACAGGCCGAACAGUUGGGAGUAACUUCAAGUUUUUGUUCACAAUGCUUUUUUUAAAAUCCAGCACGAGUUUUAUGUAUUUUGGGAUAUUUACUCCAUGAUCAGAUGUUGCUUUCAUGGAAAUGCACCAUUUUACUCCAUUUAACAGACCAUUGCUAAAUAUAUGUCAGCAAAAGAAAAUAAGGGCUUGGUUGCAGGGUCGAAAACAUUUGCACGAGUCACAACUUCAGUGCAAAAGCAAAAAAAAAAAACAAAUCACAGUUGGAUUAUUCACUUUUACUUUUUGGCUUUCGAGAGUCUGCAUACAAAAAUCCUAACAAAUAUCAACUGCAUUCAAAAUGCCACAGAAAUGGCUAGAAAGAAGCAACUGAGUAAAGAAACAAAAGUACAGAUUUGUACAUUGAGGAAAGAAGGAUUCACAGAAAGAGAAAAUCGCAAAACGCCUAAAGGUGUUUAAGAAAGUAGUCCACUACACUCUGAAGAGACUAGAGGAACCUGGCAGUUAUGAUGAUAGAAAAAGACCUGGACAAAAGAGAGUUACUACAAAAGCAGAGGAUAAACAUAGUAUUGUCACCAGUGAGAGAGAUCGGCGAAAGACAGCACCAAAAAUAAGGGAGGAAAUCAACAUGACAAGGUCAAAACCCAUAUUUCUGACAACCGUGAAAUGAAGUUUGAGAAAGGCUGGUCUGAAGGGUUGUGUAUCUGCAAAAAAACACUACUUCAUCC
This is a non-coding RNA of Xyrichtys novacula (pearly razorfish), 79508 nucleotides long. The record is from the annotation of a GenBank genome assembly. Lineage: Eukaryota; Metazoa; Chordata; Actinopteri; Labriformes; Labridae.